UGAGCUCAAACCGCUUGCUUGGGUUUUGUUCGUACUGACUGCUAUGCUUCAACCUGAAUCAGUGAGGUCAGAUGGCUUCUGAGGUGAGAUGUGCCAUGGACAUGAAGUAUCAGAUCUUCUUGGUGUCUUCAAGCAACUGACAGCGUUCUUUAGCAGGCUUUGUGCUUAGUGACUUGUGGCCCAUCAUAGAAUUCUUUUCACAGGAUUAGCACUCCGACCAGAUUGAUCAUGAAAGCAAAUCUAACCUGCCUCCAUCGUAAGGUUUGGCCUGUUGGCUUUAUUGGCUACACACUUACACCUGUUUCACCUUUGGAACCUCUGUAUGUAAAAUAUUCCAGAUUGAUACAUUGUAAACAAUGCUCAGUGUGUUGGAUUUACAAUAAGAUCAUAAGAAUCUAUCAUUUUUCUCUGUCUGCUCCUAUAGUGCUCUUUUCUUUUGAUCUUUGCAUUUUGUUUGCAAGAAAUGAAAGUGGCGAAGGGGAAGGAUGCCUUUAGCUUUUCUUCAGGAAAUCAUGGACAGUAAUACAACUUGAAAGGUAAAUAUAUUCAAGAGUCAUUUACCUCAAGACAUGUAUUGCUGAUUAAAAAUUGAUGAAUACAUGUUCUGAAAGAUCAUACCCAAGGGCUCUGUUUUAUUAUUCAUAAAGAAACACCGUUUUAAAUCUUAAACAUGUUCGUAGCAUUAAGAACUCCCAAUUCUGAAAAAGGUGAAAAAAAAGAGAAUGAUAGAGAAUGAAGAAAAGUGCCGAAAAAAGAGAAUGAUAGAGAACGAAGAGAAGUGCAAAACCUGACUUAAAUGAGGACCCGGCCUGGAUGGGUGUAUUCUCUUUUCCACCUUGACGAUGUAUACAAGUCAGUGUUAGUAUCUACUCCCUCCGUCCGGAAAUACUUGUCAUCAAAAUGGAUAAAAGGGGAUGUAUCUGGAUGUAUUUUAGUUCUAGAUACACCUCUUUUUAUCCAUUUUGAUGACAAGUAUUUUCGGACGAAGGGAGUAACAGACAUUGUAUUAUUCACCAAGAAUUCCUUUAUCUGAGCUGUCCUUCCAUGCCUGUGCGUCAUACGUAAUCGAUUUAGGAUACGAGUAAAGAAUGCUAUGUUUCUUUAGUCACUCUUUGCGUUGUUUUCUAUUUUAUAUUUAUCGUGCCAUUUUGGCACGCAUGUAUUUGCCGAGCAAAUUGAGAACAUGGAAGGAGCACUUGGAUUUCAUUUCUAUCCUGUAGUUAGUCUACAAUGCCGUUUUACGAAGCUGGUUACUUGCCCAUGACAAGAUCGAAGAUCAGGGAUAUUUUUUCUUGAGCAAUGUGGUUUGCUUGUUAAGUUUUGCCCCCAUGUCUUCUUUGUGUGUAAAUUUGCUGUUCUGUGCUAUUGGUAGCCAAAGAUGCACUCCAUCGCUAUGUUGUUUGCAUUUGGUGAUAACUACUUUUACAUUCUGCUCAAGUACUAGAGAGUUGGUUGAACUUACUACAACUGUUCUAUCUGUGACACGUCUGCAGCUUAAGCUGUGGCUGCUUCAAGAGGAAGCUUGAUGGCCGCCAGCUUGUUGUACCUAAGUGACUAAAUUUUGUGGGAGGUCUUGAAGUGUGUUCAUCUGUUACUUGAGUGAGCCAUAGUGGUCACUGGUCAGUUUACUAUCCUUCCUUGUUUAUUAAUGCACCAUAUUCAUCUAACUGUUUUUUGCGGAUGGUCAUCUGUUAUUUGUUUGCAUGGAGUAUGUUUUUUGUUGAACUUUCAUUUCUGCCUUCCCCAUACGGCCGACACUUUGUUUUCUAUUCGAAAUGCCUCCUUGACUGAUGUAAAUGCCACUACAUUGGCAUUGUUUACGCGCCUCCACGAACUAGAGGCUAUUUAGAUUUAGUGAAGGAGGUCAAAAUUAGGCUGAAAUACUAGUGUUGCAUGCUCUCUGUUCCCCAGUUUGGUUAGGUAGCCUGGUUGUUUUGAUGGGCCACAUUUGGAACAAACGUUUGGCAUGCUCUUUGGGGAUGCAUAACUGCUUAUGGUUCUUGAUGUUCUUGUAGUAGUGUUGUUCUUGUCAUGGGUUUAUAUGAGCUGCCUUUGCUACUACAAAUGUUUAAUUGCUACUUGCCACUUCAUUCUGUGUGACGUUGGUGGUUCGGAGUUUUGCUUUGAAUGUGAUGGUCAAUUUCUUGCCCAUUUGUUUGCCCCUUAUUUUAGUUUCAGCUGUCUUGUGGAAGAUACAUCAGCCCAUCAGCAAACCUGAUUAUGGCUUUCCGACAUAAACAUUUGCGUAGUUACAGUGGUGUCCGGAUGCAAUCGGCGCACAGAGUAGAAAGAUAGAAACUAUGGUCUAUUCCCUUUGUUCACAAAUGUAAGAUGUUUUAGAUAUUUCAAUAUGGACUACAUACGGAUUGAAAUGAAUGAACAAACACACUAAAAUGUGCCUAUAUGCAUUCAAAUCAGAAAAUAGUUAGAAAAUCGGGACUUGAAUUACGGACGGAGGGAGUACAUUAUAACCUAUGUUGAUAACUGAGGCUCGUAGAGUGGGGUUUUUGUUGGUGGGUACACAUGCAAACGUUUUAUUUGUUUGAUUUGUCAAAGUUUUGGAGUCUUUCUUCUUUGCGUGGACCUCACGAAUGCCGUUCCAUCAUGAAUAAUUUGUUAGAUAAAAACAAAGCAACAUUUGUUGCCAAUUUUUAAGAAGUUACUGUUUUUUCUAUUUUUUUCGGAUUUUACUGCUUAUCCAAGGUGCAUGUGUGCCCGGGAUCAUAAUUGCACUUUAAGGGCUCGUCACCUUACGGAAGAGCAAGACGCUUUUGGAUGCUAUAUACCUCUUGUAACGAGCAGCCUGAUAUCGCUCGCUCGCUGGACGUGAACUGCCAUAGUGCCAUUCAGUGUCUUUGUUGCACUCCCGCUGAGCUCGUCAUGUACUUCCUCCGUUCCUAAAUAUGAGUCUUUCUGGAGAUUUUGAUGUGAACUACAUACGGAUGUAUAUAGAUAUAGUUUAAAGUGUAGAUUCACUCAUUUUGCUUCGUAUGUAGUCGACAUUGAAAUACCCCGAAAGACUUGUACUCCCUCUGUUCCACAAUUCUUGUCUUAGAUUUGUCUAAAUACAGAUAUAUCAAGUCACAUUUUAGUACUCCUUCCGUCCGGAAAUACUUGUCAUCAAAAUAAAUAAAAGAAGAUGUGUCAUCAAAAUAAAUAAAAGAAGAUGUAUCUAGAUGUAUUUUAGUUCUAGAUACAUCUUUUUUGUCCAUUUAGAUGACAAGUAUUUUCGGGCGGAGGGAGUAUUAGGUACAACCGUAUCUAGAUAAAUCUAAGACAAAUUUUUUUGGACGGAGGGAGUAUUUAGGAAUGGAGGUACUAGUAGUUUUACGGGACCAUCGGUUCGAGUCGUCUGGAUUGCCAUAGUUGAGUAAUCUUGUUGCUCAUCCAUUGGCGUGGGCUUGUGUAGACUCCAUCAUUUGCAGGUCAAUGUGGAGGGUCUGGAUGACAAAGCAAGGAGCACGCGCAACUCGAGAGGCAAUUCGGUCUGGAUGACUGAAGCAAUACUACUCUCCGCUGCAGCGCACACUCUAUGUGAUUAUUACGUGUAAAAGUUCGUUAAUUAGUUAGAAUCAAAUACUUCCAUGAGUGCAUAUAUGUUGCUGAAAGAACGUUUCACGGUGAGGGCAUCUUUGAUAGAUGAUGUAUAUGCAAGAAUAACUAACAGUUGCAUCUCUAGGGCCCAAAAACCCACCUCCAACGGAUGAUUUAGAUGAAAAAAAAAUACAUCUUCGCCUCCCUGAGAUGAAAAAUACAACAUCUUGUGAUGCAAAAGGCCCCAAAACCCACCUCCAACAGAAGAUUUAGAUGAAACGAAAUAAAUCUUCGCCUCCCUGAGAUGAAAAAUACAACACCUUACAAUGCAAAUUUGCAGCUUCACUUUCAGAAGAUGAGAAAACGGUGGUUGCGUGCCAACCUUCAAUUGCCCUUCACUUCCUUUCCCUUCUUUCUCUCUUUGCCCAUUGCACAGCUGUUGCCGCCCCGACUCACCCGCAUCAUUGCCGUUGCUGCAUGCCUGUGCCACCUCCGUCUGUCAACCACCCCUACCGCCUUGAUUCGCCGUCGUCGCUGCCUCGUUUUCGCCGUCGCCGCAGCCACCAUCGGACCAGCCAAGCACUUGCCCAUCCAUUGCCGCUCCGCCCGCAUGCUGCGAAUCUAACGUAUUUUUCGCCGCUCAACCGCUGCCGCCGGUUCGCCCCUGCCGUCGCCGCUGCCACAACCUGACCGCUAAGCACCCGCCCAGCCACCACGGCUCCACCCUCACGCUGCGAAUCGAUCGUAUUUUGCGCUGCUCCACUGUCGCCGGCCGGUUCAUCCCCGUUUUCGUUUCCACCGUCGCCGCUGCUUAUCUGCCACCGCCCAGCCCUUACACCCACCCCAGCUUUUGCCCUGUGGCCGCCGCCCAGAUUCGAACGCCGCGUUCCGGCCGCCGCCGCUCAGCUGCCCCAUUUCUAAUCUUUACAUCUCCACUUGCAUCAUCUAUUGAAGUUGUGUUUUUACAUCACUAACUAAUUCACGUCAUCCGUUGGAACUGUCUAUUUUAGAUGUAAAAUGCAUCUUUUGAAGACGUAAAUUUUUAGAUCUCCUAAUUUACAUCUUCUAUGCUCUGAGACGGUAGGAUGUGGUCUUCUCACGAACCUUCUCACAUCACAGUUCGCCCGGCGGUGCACGCUCCCGGAAACAACUAUGUUUCUCGCCGACAGGACUCACUGCUGCCGGUGGACGUGGUUGUGACGUGUGACGUCCACGUGGUAACCAGCCAAAGGCCCUCGCUGGAACAUAUGGGCCCGGCAGUUAACAGACACCGAGACCGUACAAGCACUUCGCCGCCUAUAUGUGGCCGGCAAGUGGCCCGGAACACUACCUGGCCUGCACCGAUGAGGCGACCACCGCCCGAGCUCUCUCCCGCCGUCUCUAGUAAAUCCUGUCCGUCUCGGGUUCAGGUCCCGUCGCUCAUCCGAAGUUCGUAGUCAUCCGUCAAAGCAAAAUUACCGCAGAGGGCUCCCCGGUGCGACCCACCGAGUGCUGUUCAGAUGCGAUUGUACAUUCAAUCUUCCGCUGGAAAUCAUCCGUGUAUCAGCUAAAGCAAAGAAAAAAAAAGUUCAAUUUAUUAACGUGGUUCGGAGUACACAUUUCUUCUUUUGUUGAAAGAAAAAGAAAGAGAUUUAUUGCAUCUCUCAGUCUAUGCAUCCAGAUGCGGCCGGCCAAAUUUGUUGCAACUGGUUGCUAGUGUAGUACUCCUUCCAGUUCAAAAUAUUUGUCUUUUUAGAGAUUUUAAAUGGAGUACCACAUACAGAUGUAUAUAAACAUAUUUUAUAACGUAGAUUCAUUCAUUUUGCUUCUGUAUAUAGUCAUUUGUUGAGAUCUCUUAAAAGAUAAAUAUUUAGGAACGGUGAGAAUAGUAUACACUUUUUUUAUGGAUAGUGUAGUACAUAUUGAGAUGUACAAAUACAUCAAUGCAACACAGACCUACUCAAAAGCGAUGGUCAUCUAACCAGUAAAGGCCAACUCGAAAUCUGCUAGAAAACCACUGAAUUUAUUAACGUCUGGGUUUUCUGAAGUUUUAGGAAACAUUUUUCAGGAACCAAGGUUUUUUUUCUUUCGAAUUUGUCAACAUCGAUGUUUUUGGAUGCCUCUUUUUUUCUAAACCAGUUGAGAAAAUUUUGUUUAAAAAAAUGAGGCAUUCAUUGCCCACAUAUGUUAGAAUACCAUUCUCACAAUAAAAGAAUGUUACAGUACUGAGCUUUUUAAUAUAAAAAAUACUAAGGUCUUAGAUCACUGCAUUUUAAAAACUAUGCUGCCAAACUUGGGCCAAGAUUUUUUUUCUCUCUCUGAUAUGCAAUCCAACAUAAGUAAUUUUUCAUUUUUAGGAACCUCGUCCAUCAUAAGAAUAAAAUAUUUUAUUUGGCAAUAAUUUUUUUAAGAGGCUAAGUAUAGGGUUUUAAUACUUUUAUAGGGAAAUAAAUUAAAAUUCUCAAACCUUUCCCCUUCUUUUUUUUGGCAAAAGGGAUGCGCUCAUGAUCCCCCUUUUCUGUCUCUAGCUCUUGCGGCAGGAGGUUGGGGACCCCGGAUCUUUGUUUACAAAUUGCGUUCCCAACAACGACUCUAAGGCACUGGCGACACUACCAAUGGAUUAAGUGAUGACGCCACUAGUGGAUUAAGUUUACCCGAACUCCACCUCGACGGUGACUCUGAGGUGGCGACUAUAAUGCUGGGGAAUAAGGUUUCCUCGAUUCCGUUCGUUGGUGACAACAUCCUCAACGACGAUGGCAGCGAGAGUCCAUGAGGAUGGUUUGUCUCUACUCUUCUUGGGUCAUGUAUCUAGCUAGUAUGAGUGCUAGUGAUUUGACAUCCAUCAGCGGUGCCACCAACAUCAUAUUCUUUUCUCUUGGCUCCGGCCCCGUUGCACCAGCGUUCUCUUCGUCCGUCAUUGUGAAGCCAACGGAGGUCUUGUUCAGGAGGUGCAAGGUGUGUCGGCUCGGUAGGCAUCGACGGUGAUCGUUGUAUGCCAGAGUUGUUGCUUCUUCUUUAGGGUGUUGGUUCUCUGCUCGAAGCCUCGACGACUUCCCUGACUAUAUAGAAGGUGUGGCUUGCUUUGGCAGCGAAGCGGCGGUGACGAUGGUGCACCAUCGGUCACCCCGGAUCCCAGAGGCAGAAGGCGCGGUGAACACCAAAAACUUGGUUGUAAUUUCCUUUUUUUUCUUCGAGGUGUAAUGUAAUUUUCGGACAUGUUUUUUUAAACUUAAUUUCCGGACAUGUUUGAUAUAGAGCUUUGAUGCUCUUUUAGCAAAACAAACAAAAAAAUGUAAAUAAAUUAAAAUGACCUAAGGAGCGCAACGGUCUAUAAUCAUCUGAUCUGAUGCCAGGUCUAUCUAUAAUCCCGUCGAUGUUUGUUUCCAAAAAAAUGCACACAUAAUCGUUUUUCCAUUAACUUUUUUCACACCGCAAGCCACAACGGCUCCAGAGCUCUCCGCCGCGGUACAAAAUCCAAAAACUUACCGUUGCAAAGAAGAAGAUCGAACGGGGCAUUAAAACCGUUCCGUUUUCCGUGCCCCGAUAAGACGGCAACUGAUUAAACACGAAAUUCAAAAGGAGCAAGAAAAUAGGCAACCUCCCAAAACGAAAGCCUCCCAUCCCAACGUCUCACAUCAUAAGACAGCAGGGGCGCUCCCGUCUUUUCCCCUCGCCAGGCGUUCCCCCUCCGGUCUCCUCCUUCUGCUCCACUCCCCCUGCGCCUGGGGUUUCCUCCUUCCACUAGAAGCCAGCCUCCCCUUCUUCUACCCCACACUGCUCCCUCCUCCGCCUCCCCACCCGGCUCCGGCUCCGACUCCCGCCCCCGCCCCCGCCCCCAGAGGAUCGCCGCAGUCUCGCAAGAGGACCGCCGACGGAGGGCAUUGGCCGGCGCCGCGGCGCUUCUGGUCGGUUCUUGCCUCUGCCUCCCCCAUCUGCUCUCUGAUUUCGCCGCUGCGCGGUUCUUUCUCCCCCGUUUCUUGGCUCGAUUUGCCUCGCGCCCGGCGCCUCAUUGCGGAAUUUGGUUUGGUUCGGUUUCGCAGUGUGAUUUAGGGCUGCUGCCUGCCUGCCUGUGUCCGGUGGCUGCUCGUGCUCUCGGCGCCGGCGCGAUGUUCUACUCCAAGACGAUGCUGUCCAAGAAGGGCCCGCUGGGCGCGGUGUGGGUGGCGGGCGUCCGCGGCGUCGCCGCGCUCACCAGGGACCAGGUCCUGCGCACCGACGUCGCCUCCUCCGUCGGUAAGCGAUAUCACGCCUAGUUUGCCUCCGCAUAACCCGCCUCCUGCAAUGCGACAAAAGCUCCCUCUUUUUUCUGUGGGUUUGUGGGUUUUUUGGGUUUGGUUGGGGCCUCGGUGAGGAGAAAUCUCACCAAUUUGUGGGGAAAAAGAAGUCUUCUUUUCUGGCGGUCUCAUGUUCUUUCCUGGCUUGGUUAAGGGCUUGGAGGAGAUACGGGUUUCUAAUCUGGGGUGAGUGGAACAGUAGAUUGGGAGGGUUUAUGUGGGGGUUUAUAUCUUGCACUGUGAAUGAAGGAUGAGAGGAGAAUCUUUGGUUCUUCACCCCAAAAAGAAGACCAAGAGAGAACCACUCUUUUCUCUCGUGACUUCGGUUCCCCUUAAUAGGUUGUGGUUGGUGGAGUGGUGAUUCAACCUUUUCUUCUCGAUUUUAGGAAGCAUCGAUGUGCACAUCUAUCUUUUUUUUUUUAUCUUCUUGUGGAGUGUAAGCAUCACUGUUCGCAAAUUUCGUUUCACAUUUUCUUCCGGGGAAACGAACAUAUUGCAGUUUUUUUUUAAAGAUUAGAAGAUGAAUGUUAGGAUGUUGAUAAAAAGCUUAACCUGACUAUGGGAUGUUUUGGCCAACGGAAGGUUAUGGAUCUUUGUGGAUGGUUUGGGGUUCACGGCUCUUGGCCGGUGAGAACUUUUGGCAUAUGAUUUUUUUUUUAAUCUAUACGUUAUCCAGGCGUGAACCUGAACUGAGUUUCAGGUUCAGGUACCAACUGAAUAUACCAUGUGAACCAACUUUACUGUCGACAAAAACUACAUAAUGAUAUUUAAUUCACUGGGAAACUGCUUGAAUAUCGUUAAAUAUUGCGCCUUUCUGUUGACAGACAUAGCCCUUCAAGUAUUUUCUUUCUUUCUGAUAGUAUUGUGAUGACUAGCUCACACAUUUCCUGUUCAUGGCAGACAAGAUUUUGCCCGACGUUGAAACCACAUACAGAAUACUUGGGCUGCUUCUGCUUGGCGUUGUUAGGAUUUACUCCAAGAAGGUGGAAUACCUCUGCUAUGACAGCAAUCAGUUUUUUGAAUCAACUGUAAGAGGGAAGAAAGUUCUAAAGCGAGGGAAGAAAGGUGCUUGUGCAAGAAGAUUGGUGCUAGACCAAGAAGACACUAGAAGAGCGAAAAGAGUUGCUGUAGUUCAAGUCCCAGGAUUGGACGAACCAGCUGACCUUCCACCAAUCUUCACCGUACCCAAAAGAUUUGAGCUCGACUCUUUUGAUUUGCAGAUACCUGAAGACAGGUAAUGAACAAGCAUGGCCGUAAACUAGUUUCAUUUCUUUGUUACUUCAAGUGUGGUGUCUCAUUUGUUCCUUCUAAAUUCCUCUGCAGAGAGGAUGACAAUGAUGAUCAUCACCAAUUGCCUCGUCAAGGUAGCAAAUGCUGCAACUUGAUGUUGCUGUUAUUGCUAAGGAAUCAUUUAUGACCUUCAAUUAUUUUGUGCAGAUACUUUGCUGGAAGAUGAACAUCAGCGUAUGCCAAAUUUUUACGAGGUACCCAGCUUCCUUCCUACCAUUCACUGAAUAAUCAAGACAUGUAUGCGCAUAGAGUGAAAUGCUUCUUAUAACAUCUGAAACAAAGAAAUUGGGGAGCUUGCCAAAAAAUAUGCUAUGUAGUCUAGGCAGCAGUUUCCUACUGCACGCGCCUACCACCUAAUGUGAUCUAUAAAUGCGAUACUUCCCAGGCAGACAGAAUUACUAAGCUUGCAUGCAUCAGGCAGCAGUUUAAGUGACCUGUACCUUCCACCAAUUGAUCCUGUUCUACCACCGAUGGGGACCACAGUAGGUUCCACGUGUUACCUUACCUGAUUACCAUGGUCCUGUAUCAGUAGUUUCAUGAAUUUUCCGAUUAAGGUGUUAAGUAUCCAUUUUGUUUGUGGUUUGUAAAUUAUUCCACCCACGUGUGUUGCCUUAGAUACGUUUGUUCCUUUGCAUUAGCAAUAGGUGACAUGCAAUACUGUCAGCUUCCUCUUGUUUUCAUGCCUUAUUUGUCUUGAGAAACUAAAACUUAAGAUUUAUCUAAUGGAACAGUCUUAUCAGGGGAUGCCAUAUGCUGAUCUGGACUCUGCUUACGUUGUGCCAGUAUGCAUGUAAGUACAUAGGCUACGUUACCUAAUGGUGUUAAAAGAUUACUUCCAGUGGAUUUCUGAGCUGAUCUCUUGAUGCAGCAUCCCAGCUGAAAUGAUCAGUGUCACUGAUGAAGUCACCGAUCUUCUGUACUUGAGUAACAUAGGGGAUGAACUUGAAAAUGAAAGUCAGAAUGCUGAUCCUGCUUGCUUUACACCAGUGAAGGAGUAAGUAUAUGAACUGUCACCCCCUCUCCCGACUCUCUGUUUGCUAAUACGAGACUAUGAAACAGUGUUCUUCCACCUGAGGCGAUGGAUAUGAUGGCUGAAGUAAGUGAGCUUCCAGAGAAAAGCAAAGAGGUGAAGAAAGCUAGAAGAGAAGUGAAUGGUGAAGAGAAUGGUGAUCCGUCUUGUUCUACCCCUUUGCCGGAGUGAGUAUUGCUACUCCCUUUCUUUUGUUACAUCAAACUUUCUUUACUUCAAGAUAAUUCUGAAAAUUAUCAUUGUAAUUUGACAUUAUUAAGCAUGCAUUGAUGCAGGAAUCAAGAAAUGCAAAGACCUGUGAAUGCUGUGGAGAAUGUGGUGUCUGCAGAUCUUGAUGAAAAUCAUCCUGUAGUCGAAGAAUCAGAAAAUGGGUUAGCGGUAGGAAAACCGAACACAACACUAUCUGUAGAAAUUCCUGACAUCGAGGAACAAGAGUCUCUGGAACCUUCCACUCCAGAGCCCUUGCGAGAGGGAGCCUCAGGUUAACUUUUGUGAGAAGUUCCUAUUCUACUUAUUGUCAUUAUCUUGCUCAUGUUUGUGACAUAUUUAUCUCAUGUACUAGAAAAAUUUGGUGUUGCAACACCUGCUCAAAAUGAGAAGCGCCAGGUUACCAGAAAAAGGAGGAGGGGGUUAUACAAUAAGAGAAAAGUUUGGGUGUUGUGGGAUGAGAAUGUUGUCCUUGAUAAUGAGUAAGUACAGUAACUUGCUUGUAGAAGCUCUUUCAUCUGUUGCAUUGCCUAUUCCUGUGUGCUUGUAUGCAUCUAGCAGCCAGUUUGAACUUCUCUAUCAGCUUAAGAAGUUUGUAUGGUGCAAAUGAGUUAGUAAUAUGGAAGAGCUUGCACAAGCUCUUCCAUAUGUUGCAAACCAUUUUAUUUUUGUUUGAGAACUGGGAGUGGUCUGAUCUGCAUUGACAUGCUUCUUUAAGGUGUUUCCUCUUUUUGUAUGAGAAUUGGGAGGGGCUGAUCUGCAUUGUCAUGCUUCUUUAAGGUGAUUCCGUAGUACAUGCAAAUUAUAAUAUGGCCACAUUAGCAUGCUUUUUAAAGGUGAUUCUGCAGUAUGAUGGAACAUUGAAUUUCUAUAUACAUGGUCCAUUCAUACUAUAACAUUGUUACUGUUUUUGGAACAUCCCCCCGACAACACAAUGAGUUUGUAAAAUAACUAGCUUGCACAAGCUCUUCCAGAUGUUGCAAACCUUUUUUUUUGUUUGAGAACUGGGAGUGGUCUGAUCUGCAUUGACAUGCUUCUUUAAGGUGUUUCCUCUUUUUGUUUGAGAAUUGGGAGGGGCUGAUCUGCAUUGUCAUGCUUCUUUAAGGUGAUUCCGUAGUAUGUAAAAUGAAAUGCAUGGUCGAUGCAAAUUAUAAUAUUGCCACAUUAGCAUGUUUUCUUUAAGGUGAUACCGCAGUAUGUUGAUGGAACAUUGAAUUUCUAUAUACAUGGUCCAUUCAUACUGUUUUUGGAACAUCCCCCCUACAGCACGAUGAGAGAAAUUGUAGACGGGGUUGGUGUAGAGGAUCUAGUUGUCAAAAGAAGGAAGGCGCCUCACACUCGCCAUCAGAUUUGGAGGGAGUCAAGAUUUCGUUCUCUGCAGGAUACUUUCAUGGAGCCAAUUCUUCAGUGUGAUAACAUUGAGCCAAUUCUUCAAUGUAAGUCAAUCAUUCAUCUAGUCAGGCUCAGUUAUUGAUGCAAACGUUAGUCAUCAGCUUAGCUGAUCAUCUUAUUUUAACAGAUUCGACUACAGUGCGCCUUAAUUCUACUACAGCCGAUGCCUCAUGCGGGGAAUCCGUUAAAGCAAAGAAGUGUCUUUCAUAUGAACCUGCUGAAUCCAACAAUCCCCACAAGGAAGCUGCAAAUGAAGAAACAGAAUGUGUCCCAGAUGAACUGACAAAUGGCAUCCAUACUCCUAUUGGGUGCUACAAUCAAAGUCAGCAAAGUCAAGAUGUUUGUGAAUGCAAUGAUGAUACACCUUAUGAAAAGAACAGCACACUAGUCAAUGGAGAGGAAUCAGGGCUGCCAGAAGAGAGAUUGUAUGAAUCAACCAGUCACAGUGCAUUGCGCAAUGAAUCGUUGACUGCUGACAUAGAUGCGGUAAGCACACGUCUACAUCUAAACUCAGUGGCAAAAAGGAUUCUAUUUAUGGUUUUACACUACACUUUAUUCAUUUGAGAAUGUUCUCUGGUUGCAGGAUAUUCCUAUGGAUGAAGAGAAUGCUGCCAGAGAUGAAGGUAAUGUUCACAACCUAUAGUAGUUUAUACUGCUGUGCUUGUGCUGUUUGACGUUUGUGCUUCUUCUGAUACACCACCCACUGUUAUUGUUGCAGAUUUCCCGCUUUCAACAAGAACUAGGUGAGAACAAGAUUGUUGUUGCUUUUCCUUUGUAUUCUUCCUGCUGUUAUCUGCCUGUAAUACUUACUCUCUAGGUUCACUAUUUCAGGGCAGUAGCAAAGUGCCUUCAUCAGCUAUUCUUGGACCAGAAGAGCCAGCAGCAAAGCAAUGUCCCCGUGACGCUCGGCCAGGCCCUCGAAGGCAGCAAGAGGAAAACCACAGCAAGAUUCUUCUAUGAAACUCUGGUAAGCUUGUUUCCUAGUUGAGCUGUCCUUUUCUUGAAAGAUUGAACUGGAUAAAAGGCUUGGAUUGCUACAAAUGAUCGAUCACUCAGUGUCUUUACAUAUUUAUGCAUAUCCAUCACAUUUUCAUUGUUCUUCUCUGCAAUAUAAUUUGAUGCCGGUGUCCUCUUUCAUUGCAAUGCGGGCCUCAAGAAUUUGCAGACAACACAUUUGUUCCAUUCUUAUUCUUACCAAUAGUUGUUUGUGUCUUGCAAAUUUCCAGUUUAGAUUCGCACCAUGUACUCCUUGUAUACUCAUGGUAAAUAAAUACUCCCUCCGUUCCAAAAUAGAUGUCCCAACUUUGUAUUAAUUUUAGUACAAAAUUGAGUCAUCUAUUUUGGAACGGAGGGAGUAAAUGCUAAUAAGCUACGUACCUCUCUUGUGCAGAUCCUCAAGAGCCGCGGGUUGAUAGAUGUGAAUCAGGAGAAGCCCUAUGAGAACAUCACAAUCUCUGCGACUCCACAACUCGACGCGGUGCUGCAGAAUCCAGUGCCCCCUUCAACUUCUUAGCAGCAGAUGUCAGGGUAGGUAGUUUUAGGAGAAAAUGACUCAAAGUUUCAGUUUUUCGCUAUAUCCCGUAGCAUCAUCGCGAGAAUAUGUACUGGUGGCAGGCCAGUUGUAUAUAUGGAUCAUUUGUUCGUUCGUAUGGGUCAGGAUUACAUAGAGAAAGCUUUAGGAUCUUGCUCGGUUAAGUUAACGACAGGCCGAGUUUCUUGCUGGUCGCAUGCGGGAUGUAAGUUAACUGAUGAGGUGGGGGUUUAUUCAGAUUGCAGUUUCUUGCCGGUUGCAUGUUGAAUGCUGAUGGCAUCUGCCAAUGAGUAAAAUAGCAGGCAAACACUCUGCCUGGUUUGGUUUGAUUGAUGCCGAGCGUGAGCAAUUUCUUUUCUUGGUAGUUUUUGGAUCAAUUUUCUUGGCAAUUUCUUUUCUAUUAGGGGGAGCAAGUCUCUUGCUUUUCUGGCUUCAGAGGCGACCUUCACUGCACAUGCACCUGUGACCUGUCCAAUGCAAGACUGGGGCUAAUUUGGACGGCGUUCUUGUCGAAUAGGAAAUAUAUUUUUUGGCAAUACAAUGUUCUGGGCUCCUCAUCUCUUCUCAUGCAGUGCGCUAGACCACACACAAUGAGUAAAAUACAAUGUUCUCUUGUCGAAGGAGAACAAUCUAGAGUAGAAUGAAAAAUGAGUGUAAUAUACAGUCAGGUUAUAGGCGUCGUUUCAGGGAACCAUCGUGACGCACGGGGAAAAAAGGAGCGGGGAUUAUCCCUAUAACCACAAGGGUUAUUUUUUUAACACUCCCCUUAAUCACCGUUUGAUUUUAUGAUAGUUCAUCAAUUAUUAAGUCUCCUCAAAAACCCUGUGGGUAAAAAUGUGAGGAGAAUAGUGUUGUUUGAUAUGUUGCCAAAACUGCUGAAACCUAGUAGAGAAAAUAAGAGAAAAUGAUGCAACAUAUAAUGGUUAUUGUCUCUUUUAACUCAAUACGAGAAAACCCAUAGAGACUUGGUGAACAAACCAGUUACAUGAUUUGACUUGCAAGAUAUGCCUCAUAGUUACAUGUUGAAGACUCUUUUGAAGACUCUUUAUGAGAGGGCUAUCACACCUAGUAGGAACACUAAACUUGUUUACGAUCUGACAUAGUGAGGAUUUGAUCAAUGUAUCCAAUGAUAUCGGUGUUCACAUUUCUGUGAAACUGAAAAAACCAGGACAAGAUGUUUGACGCCUUGAAGAUAUCGAAAGAUAUUCUUGAGUACCAACCAAUUGUGUUCAGUGGAUUCAAUGGCAUUAUGGAACGUUGAGUCCCAAUAUCUCAUUUCCAUUAUUGUGGAUUCAAUGGCAUUAUAGACCUUUCUCUAUGUCUAGAGAAUGAACUACCAUGAGAGUUAUGGAUGGAUAAGAUUUGUCCACAAUGAAUUUCUCCAAUAUAUUUUGGAUAUAGACAACAUAGUAUACCAUUCAGUUUAAACCCCGUCAUUUAGAUGAUUACAUGUGUCGUCAUUGUAGACACACAAACAUGGAUAAUCAUCAUUGUAGGAGUAAUCCUUGUGAAUAAGGAACUCACUACGUCGGUUGUACCAAAUAUACCGACGAUAAUAAUAAGUCAGGUGACUUAUUGAUUUUACACGAUGUAUGUCUCAAUUCAGAGUUGAGGUUCUGUCGGGAACCAUAUAUAUCCGAAUCUAGUGAUCUACAUGGAUAUGUAAUCAUUACAUCUAUCAACUGCAGAGAUGAUUUUGAACUGACAAGAUAUAAGUUAUCAGAAUGAGAUUCCACCUCUGGAGAAUAGUUGGGUAUUUGCAUGAACCCUUGUGCUACAAUACUUGCUACAAUACUUGCUACAAUACUUGCUAUUUGCACAACUUUUGCUCCCAGCCCAUGCACCCUUUAUACACCCUGCCUAACACUAUUCGUGCUUCAUAUGGUUCAUGUUUUGUGGAGUACUGUAGCACCGUACUCUCCGUGCACUGUAGACCUACUUCUGUUAACAUUGAUCUCACCGUUCAUUCUCGACCGGACAGUCGAAAAAGCGGUACUAUGUUACAUAUAGGAGUAGUUGACAUGCGCACAACAUCAUUUGUUAUCGUCAUAUCUUACUACACUAGCAACAAGAUUGUCUAGUACUGACGUAUGAACGACUGCACAUGCCUAGUAGUAGGAGCACUGUGUAUGUUCAAGUGGUUGCCGUGUUUCGCACUCCUCUGUCGUAAGAGUGGAAACACUUGCUGUAAUCAUUUUUUCUUCAGAAAAACAGUGGACACGCUCUACCGUGUGGAUCCUCCUCCAGCCAUGCACUAAAUUACUCACUUUCGCCGACGUGUGGGACAGCCAGCACCUGGGUCCACCAGCCAUGCACUAAAUUACUCCGUAGUAGUGUGACGGUAGACUACCCCGAUCAAAGCGCCGCAGUAAUGCCCAAUGAGCCGUCAAAUCACAAAACCCCCUCCUUUCCAGCAGUAAGUUGGACGGAUGAAGCAACCAUCAUUUCACUCUUCUCUCUCAGCUUCCUCUCUUGAAGAAAACCCCCACUCGCUUCGCUUCUCCCUCAUCUCAUUCCUCCUUUCACUCUUCUCUCUCAGCUUCCUCUCUUGGAUGGACGCUAGAGCACCGGCCGACGUGAUGUCUAUGGCUCUGGCCAAAACCGUCGAGGCUCAUGGUACGAAGAAGCGCAAGCACCCCGCCGAAACUACCGCACACAAGCUCAAAGCCAUCGCCCUGUCCAAGCCCCUCUCUCCGGGAUCCCUCAUUAAGCAAGUCCAGGUAAUGUCUCUUGUUGACGAUCUUUUUCUCGAUCUUGAUAGUGUUUUUUCAUCUAACACGCAGUACUAGUACUGGUAGUACAACUUUCUGGGUGAUCUUGCAUGUGAUUUUAGUGUGCCAAACGAUGUUUCUAAAUUCCUCUUUUGACCAAAACAUGCGAGAGGUUGACACUGAUUUCUUAUAGAUUACUUUCAAGUACUCCCUCUGUCCCAAAUUUCUUGUCUUAGAUUUGUCUAGAUACGGAUGUAUCUAAUAAAUGUGGGACGGAUGGAGUACUUUAUGAACAUCAAUGCUACAUUUGAAGAGGGUAUAUUUGCCUCAGUAACUUGUAUUAUGGAUACUGCAAGUAAUCCCUCUGCUCUCAUGCCUUUGAAGACAUGUUCUAGUGUCUCUGUUCACUCAUUUCUGUGCAUAUAUGUAGUCAUAUAUGGAGUAUAAUAUCGAAAAUCAUCUUAUAUUUCUGAACGGAGGUAGUAAUAAAAUAUGGUUUCUGUUUGAAUUAGAACCAGGUCCGCGGUGGAGAUGAAGUUCUCAAAGUCAUGCCGUGUGAACUAGAAGACCUGGGGAUGAGUUCUACUGCUAAACUAUCCAGCUGAUGUGCCCUUGUCGCCACGUGUCCUGAACUAGUGUUUUCCUGUAGCAUUGUUGUCAGGCAUGUUCUCGAGGUUGUACUUGACCACAACAAUUUCCUAGCUGUGCCUUCGAUUAUGAAGGGUGUGGUUCUUGUAAAGCUUCCCAACAAAUCUGAUGCAGCCUGUCUUCAUCAUCAUGUUUAUGAGUGAAAAAAGCACUCUGUUAGGUUCUCCAAGGUUGACAAGAUGGUGAUGGUGCAUGUAGACAUCUCUCACGAAGUCCAUGGCCUAGUUAGUUAUGCGGGGUUCAUCCCGUAGGUCAGUGGCAAGAAAUAGUCUGCAGAGUUUAAUUAGUGCAACUUUGCUUGUCUAUAGUAAGUACUAUUGUUCAGUACUUGAUUUGUGUUUGUGAACCCUGUAUUGUUUAUUAGUACUACCACUUUUGGUGUGUGGUCAGUCCUGAGAACGGUCUAUGUUAAUGUCUGUCCACUCAAUUCAGUCUGUAUAUUUUGAAGUAUCCAGAUCAUCUUUUUUGUGAGGACGGUUUAUCAAUUAUGGUUACACUCCAAUAUCUGUAUGCAUUGCAGGGUUUAUCACACCCACCAGGAUUUCCAGUCCCAUGGAUGUUCAGUCCAUACGAUUUGUCAUGACCUUUGGACUGUCCUGCUUGUGGGAGUAGGAGGGCCCCCUGCAUGCCACCCGUAGUUGGACGAUCAAUCUUCUAUUUAGUACUUCAACAUAGUGAUUUCCUGGUAAGGAUUCACUCGUGUCACAUCAAGUAAAUCUUAUUGAUUUACUGUCUAAAUCUUAUCGAUUUAAUGUCAUGUUUUCUUUCUUUUCCUGCAAUUUUAUGAUGUAGAUUUUGCCAUGUGACAUUCAUCACAGAAUAAACCGUUUGGUUUGCUCUACGAUGGCUAUUUUUGCAGGUUUCACUUCUUAUGUCGUGUCAGUAAUGAAGGCACUGUCCAUCACUUAUAUUACUGGAAAAAAUUAGAUCAGUCUCUGAGUACAAGCUGAAUCCCUAUGCUGAACUGCAGUUUGGUUUAACAAAAAUGCCACAAUUAGUCCUUCUCGCGUUUAAAAGAAAUGAAGAAAAAAACUGGAUCACGGUCACGGAUCCUAGUCAAGUUAGAAAGCUGAUCAUAGCAGACCAGACACGAUCGCCGCUGUCUCGCACAUCGGUACCACCUUCAAUAACGGAUCGAGCAUCGUCAGUUUCUCUAGCACUGACAACGGCAGCAGCUCAGUCUGAUCUAGCUAAGGAUUGGGCACCGACCGCGUCAGCGGAUCAGUCUGAUCUACCGGAGGAUCGGGCAUCGACACCGGCACCUGCUUCGACACCGGCACCAGCUCUACAAGGAGCACCAUCUCCGGCAGCAGCAGCGGCUUCGGCACCUGCACCAACACUUGCACUUGCAUCUGCUCCGGCCCGUGUAGUUGCACCGGCAACAGACUGGGCUGCAGUUCACACUUCAUAUACCAAAGUCCUUACAAAAACCGACAUGUCCACCUUCUUUGUAAGCAUUGGCCGCCCAAGUGCUUCGUUCUUUUUUCUUUUCAUAUUGUUUCACAUGAUUCACUGUGUUGAUCUAACUGUUUGGGUAUGUCUUCUUGUUUGCAAAUAGAGAAUUCCUAGAGUAACGAGGGAGUUGUUCAACAAUCCGGGCGACCGCGGCCAAGUUUCUCUUACCAUGCGCAGCCUUGGUGUGAAUGAACCUGCUCAAUAUACCGUAAGUACAAAGGAUGGUCACAUGAUGAUUGAUGCUAAAGGAUGGUCAAGGUUCAAAUCUAAAUCAUAUCUUGCGGUAGGGGAUGAUGUCAAAAUCGAACUUUCUCGGCAAGGAGAGCCGGUCCAAAUCAACUUUGAAAUUCUUCAGUAGCAGCACACAACUGCCGAACUGAUCUAUCCUCUGAGAGAUUUUGAUGUAAUAAUCUGGCAUGGUGAAACAAGUGUCCUGUGUGUAUAAAUAGUACGAUAAUAUUAUUUAUCACAUGGUAUAUCGUUGAUAGAAUUGCAACUAUGAUUGCUGGUUAGGAACUGUCGUUCGAUUUCAUUCCAACAGCUGUCGUGCGUUAUUCACUUUUGUGUAUUCGCCUUGUGACAACAUCUAAAACCAGCGCCGUACCAAUCGCUUGUAAUAUGAAAAGUACUGAGGUAGAACACAUGGGCCCCCAAACAUGCAGGGUGGGCAUGCGGCCCAAAGUCCAGAACCGUGAGCCUGUCUGAGUAUUAUAUUCUCAGCUGAACCCCCAUAAAAAAAGCUGAACCCCCAUAAUGCCCGUGCGUUGCAUGUAACAUCAAGAUGCAUUUGUAUGAGUAUUUUAUCUUGUGAGAGAAAAGGAUGAACAAGGGAAGGCCUUAUUUGCAAAUGUGGAGAGGUGUGUGAGUACCUUUUUGCAAAAUUGCCAUAGUUUCCUUCCUAUCCGUCAGAUAUAAAUCGGACGGCCUAUAUUGCAGGAUGGCAGACACACCAUCAUCACCAACUCGUCUAUACUGUGUUAAAAACAACUCUGUUUUUAUAAUUAUAUAUGUUAUAUAUAUUCCCCUUGAUUUUUCUUAUGUAUAAAGUUGUGAUAUAAAAGAUUUGUAUAUUUCUUUACAGAGGGAGUAUCUCUUUGUCAAAAAAUAUAUUUAUGUGUAACUAGUUACUCCUGUCUUUUUACUUCCUUCCGCUGAUAUGUGGGGCAACCGACAACGGGGUCCACGUGCCAUAUGCACAAAUUAGAGUGCACAACUGCACGGUAUACACACCCCGGUCGUAGCGCCACAAUAAUGCCCAAUGAGUCAUCAAAUCACAACCCCCCCCUCUUUCCAGCUUUAGCAGUAAGCUGGACGGACGAAGCGGCGAUAUUUCACUGGGCCUGAAUCCCCUUCUCCCUCGUCUGCUUGUUCAGAGAAAACCCCCUCUCGCCGAUUGAUAGGGUUUUCUCAUGGAGAACCAGUUACGAAUUCUUCAUCCACCCCCGAUAAGUCCAAGUCCCUUGGUCGCAAGUAAUCCUAGGAUGGCAGCCGCCGUCGUUGAUGCAUUUUUCUUCCUACUGAAUCUAGUGUGUUUCAUUUGCAGUGCCCAAAGUGCGAGUACCCUACAGGUUUAUGCGCCCUCGGCGAGACGCCACACUUGUUCCUUCUCAUCCUAACACAGGAUUUUGAAACGCGCACAAUAUGUUCCUAGAAUCCUCUUUUCUAUCUGGGAGGGUGGUUUUUUUUGAACAUGCUGUCGACUAAUUUGGAAAUUUGGAUUGCUAUAUUUGGAUAAAAGGUAGUACUAGUAAGAUGGUCCACUGACAUGAAGGAGGAAGUUAUUUCUAGAUUUGGAUACGGAAUACGUUGUGUUCUCAUAUUAUUUUUCAUGCAGUGUAUUAUUUGCUCUGCCAGAACACAUUUACUCAAGAUGCUCGGCCUUGCCAUAACUAAAUACUAGUUUAAUGGUCACAGUGAAGACAAGCCAUGGAUAUUAGUUCCGAGUUGGCUUCAUGAACCAAGAAGAUCACUGCUUUUUUUAUGGCCGAACUUGGAUAAACUUUCUCAAGUGUUACAGACUGAAAGUUGGCGCACGAAUGUUGAUGGAAAUAGCAGAACCGGGUCUCAUCUUUGCGGCAAUCUUCCACCCCGACGUCAUUCCAAUUGUUCAUCCAUGUUAGUUUUGUAUCUGGUUCUUGCUUGUUGCCUCGAUUACUUCUUAAUCCACCUAUCCUGUAUAACUAAUCACAAUUUAACUUUAGAAGUAGCAACGAAUCUCUCACAAAGAUGCUAUUUCUAACUAAUAUUUUCUUAUAAUUGGUGGCAUGUGUAGGUUUUUCAGAGUUAAGGAGGCUGCUUGUUUGUUAUUAUGCAUUAACUCGGCUGUUACUGAUGGCACUGAAGUUGACUGGGACGACAUCCACAAGUUCCUACACUUUAUUGAUCGUCUUGAGGUCCUUGUGGGGCGUUUCAAUGGUGGAAGGCCACGUGAGAUAUGUGUGCCACUGGUGCACUCGUUGAACAGGUCCAAAUGUGUCGAGAAACUUAUGGUAUGAGCUGUUUUCUAUUAUAUAUGUUGUUCAUAAACUAUUGCUUAUACACAGUUUUACAGCUGUGAUCUUCUUGAAACAGAAACUGCCGAGUUCUAUUGUUCCUAUACAGAUGCCUGACCAUGGUCGGGUCAGAAUUGCGCUUGGUCACAACAUGAUGUUUAUGUCGACCUACUCAAUUCCCCUUGGAGGUGAAAAGAUACUUAUUCAUGGGUGGUCUCAAAUAAUGAAGGCCCGUCCAUCUUGGAGAAUAGGACAAAAGAUUAUGUUCAUGCUUUUCCAUGGCUCUAAAGCGAAUAUCCUGUUUAUUGACCACAUUGCGAGAUAAAGCCGCUUUUAGAAGGUUGUGGAUGCGCGGGGUGGUGCCUGGGCCUUGUCCUGGGGCUUGGCGGCCUCACCCUUGAUUAAUUGUAGGCAAAGUAGCACUGUUCGAGGCGUGCUUUGUAUGGUUGAACAUGUAUAAGUACUCAUACUGCUUUCUGCUUUGGUUGUUAAGUGCCCCUGCUGGUUUCGGUUAAGGUUGUUAAGUACUCCUGCUGCUUUUACAGUCUGUCGUGUUUCUUCAGUCCUGUCUUCCUCCAGCCGCCAAAACCAAACCAGCGCCGGUGGGGCUGCCUGCUUCCGCCUCCCACGGCUGGCUACGCCUCAACGCACGCAUCACCGCCCCACCAUCUCCUAAAUCGUUAACACCGACGUCCUCCGCGCAGUUUGGUGCGCUCGCCACAGCGGCACCCUCUCGCGUUGUUAACAUGGUCAACAAACAACAGGAAUCGAUAGAAGUAGGUGGAGAGGAUGACAGUAGGGGCCCACCACGUCAGCGUAUGGAAAAAUAAAAUGCUUCCUCCUAGUGUUUUCCUGACAUCUGGGACCCACGACAUUAUGAGCGUAUAUAGCCAAUAGACAAGAGAACAGCACAAGAUCGGCUGACACCUGGGACGUAGCUGCUCGAGCAGUAUUUUUUUUGUUAUUGUUGAGACGGAGCAGGGUUUGAACUGGGCUGUGGCCUAUCUUGCCCAGGCUUAUAUUUUAUGUUCACCAUGUGACCAACCCAGCUAUUUUUUCUUUGUGAAAAUGUGCCCAGUUUAUUUUUUCUCAAGAAUACCCAAUCCAAGCCUACUUAUUUUUUUACGCCCUGAUGGGCUGCAUCUCUUUCAAGAGGCCUGCAAAUCUUGAAAGUAAUAUGAAAUGGGUUGUAAAUAUAAAAAUAGAUGACAAAUUGGCAAUUACUUUAUAAUUUCUGAUUUUUUUUUCACAUUUUCAGAUUCUUAUUUCACUAGGCAUUAACCUAAUUUCAAUAUAUCUUCAAAGUACUUUAAAUUCGGCUCGACAUUUCGGUAUUAAAAAUAGUUUGGAACCCACAGAAAUAUGCGAAAUUGGCCCUGGCCAACCAAAAAAACGACUGCAAUAAAUUGCAUAAGAAGUUGCCAUGAGAUAUAUAUAAAUUAUUAAAAAAAGAGGGAGUGGUCUGACUUGUGGGCCUGUUUAGUUGACGCGUAUGCAAGAUUUUUUUAGUUAUUAUAUAUGUCAACAAACGAUUCUAGCAGACGUAACCGUUGGAUGUCAAUCCAACGGCCAUCGUGUUUCUUCAAUCUCUGAUCUUCUUGCUCCAGCCGCCAAAGCAGCGCCGGCGGGACCGCCUGCUCCAACCUCCCGUGGCCGGCUGUGCUGCCACGCAAGCGUCAGCGCCCCCUACUACUCCCACCGCUGGCCAGGGCAUCCCUCUACUCACCCACACCCCCUGGUAUUCUGCGGGGACGGCAGCCUCACACCGCAGCCGAACCGGUGAACCCUUGUACUCCUCUCCACGCGGGCUUCCACUGCGGCGUCUUCCCCGACUCCGCGUCGUCCCCUUCCUGGGCCUCGCCGUCGUCCACCGCCGUGGUGCUCUCGGCGCGGCAUGGUCAAUGUGGUCAAACCGACUUCCAUCGGAAGAGUACUGUAUGUGGAGAGGCUGACAGCUGGGUCCACGGUAGCCGCAAGGAAGUGCCUCCUUAUUAUGCGGAAAAUAAUUAUUCCUCCACCCGACAGCAGGGACCCAUCGGACGGGCCACCAGUAUUUCACGAAAAAAACAUUUCCCCCUGACUGCUGGGACCCACCGGACGGGCCACCGUAUUUCGCGAAAAAAAACGUUCCCCCCGCUGUCAGCUCGUACCCACCGGAAGUGCCUCCUUAUUACGCACAAAAAAAUGAAUACCCCCUGCUAGCUGGGACCCACCUUGGUGGGAGGCUGACUUGUGGGCCUACUAAGUUGACUGGAACGGAGGCCUUUGUCAACUUUAGUCAAUAUAUGAACGAUUCUAGCUCAAGUGGCCGUACGAUGUCCAUCCAACGGCCGUAGUGCCUCUUCAACCUCUGGUCUUCUUGCUCCAACCGCCCAAAGCAGCGCCGGUCGUGCCACAUGCUCCUGCCGCCAGUGGCCGACUGUGAUGCCGUGGAGGCCUCACCGCCCCCUACUACUCCCACCGCUUGCUAGGCCAUCCCUCUACUCACCCACACCCCUUGUUAUUCUGCAGCGACGGCAGCCUCACACCGCAGCCGAACGAGUGAACCCUCAUACUCCUCUGCGCGUGGGCAUCCACUGCCGCGUCUUCCCCGGCUCCGCGUCGUCCCCUUCCUAGCCUCGGCGUCGUCCACGGCCCUGGUUCUCUCAGCGCGGUGUGGUCAACGUGGUCAAGGAACGACUUCCAUCGGACGUAGACUGUACGUGGAGAGGCUGACAGCUGGAUCCACGGCCGCAGCAAGGAAGUGCCUCCUUAUUACGCAGAAAAUAAUGAUUCCUCCACCUAACAACAAGGACCCACCGGGCGGGCCACCGUAUUUUGCAGAAAAAACGUUUCCCCCUGACUACUGGGACCCACCAGCUACAUCUUCGCACGCAAGGAAUUGCCUGACAGUCGGGACCCACUUGGUCGAAGCAUACGUAGCGCUUUCAUUCUGGUCGCGAACGUGUACAUACAUACUGGUGGAUGUAGAGGCGCGCACGUGUCGUAGUAGAGGCGCGCACGUAGCAUGUACAUGUACGUACAACGGCCAAUGUGCAAGAAAGAAAAUAGGGCCACGUAUGUGUACAUACGGGCGGGGUCUCGAACGCCUACUCGUGCAUACGUACGACCAGGGCUCGUGUACAUGGCUGGGUCGGAACGGAGAAAAAACGUCGUCGUCGUGUUCAUAGGGAGCCAACCGGCCGGGUUGGAAUGGAAUGCGUUGUCGUGUUCAUCGGGAGGGCUUGGACGGAACAGGCGAUGGAAACGAGGCCUGCCGUACCGUAGAACGGAGGAAACGGCCUUGUGUUCGUCCGGCCACAUUCAAAACGGGAUCCUGUUCAUCAGGAGGGGUCUGGCAUACCGCAAAAUGGAGGAAACGGACCUCCUACGGUCGAAAUGGAGGUCCUGUUGAUCGGGAGGGGUGUGGCAUACCGCAAACGGGUGAAAUUGACCUGUGAUGGAGUGCUACGGUCGAAACGGGGGUCCUGUUGAUCGGGAGGGGUGUGGCGUACUGCAAAACGGACGAAACGGACUUGUGUUAGAGCGCUACGGUCGAAACGGGGGUCCUGUUCAUCAGGAGGGGUGUGGCGUACCGCAAAACGGGACUCCACGAGGUACUGUUCAUCUCCAGUGUCAACCUCCUCCAGCCUCCACGGGCUACUGUUCAUCCACCGUCGACCACCUCCAGCCUCCACCUGCGACUGUUCAUCCAUAGGCUCCUGUUCAUCCAGCCUCCACCGCGCGCUACUCCACCGGCUAUUGUUCAACCACCCCUCUCCACGGGCUCCCGUUCAACCACCCCUCCAUGGGCUACUGUUCAUCCACCCCUCCACCGUCUACUGUUCAUCCAUCCCUCCACGGGGUCGUCCUAUUCAUCCAUCCCUCCACGGGGUCCUGUUCAUCCAGCCCCAACCGGCUCGAUCAAUCGGGGUCUUGUUCAUCCAAAGGCAACACCACGGGUCCUGCUCAUCCACUCCCACCGCUCACUGUUCAUCCACCCCCCACCCCCCGCGACGCUCAUUAUUCAUCCAAACCCCCCUGCAACGCUCACUAUUCAUCCAGAGGCAGCAUCGAUCGGCUUCAGUUAGCAGCAGUAGCAAAGGAAUCGCUCGAUCGCUCGGGUUCAGUAACGCGUAGCCUGUAGUGCAAUCGCUCGGGUUCAGUUAGAGCCCGACGCCUCGCACACACACGCGUACGUGUACAAGAGAAACGCGCAUCGCUCGGCCCCCGACCACCCACCGUAACUGGGAACUCCCCAAAAUUUUCCGCGCCCUCGCUUCUACCACGGUUUUUUUCGUCAUGGACGGCCCAAAGAAUGUCAUGCAGCUGCGUCCCCGGCCCGCCCAGGACGAAAAGCCCAUUUUCUGUCAUGAUUUUUUGUCAUAGAAGUAGGAUCCCACCACAUCUAUGAUGAUACCGGGUUUUGUCACAAUUAUCGUCAUAGAAGUGUCAUAAGUAUGACAGAAAAAAGUUUCGUUCGGCCCAAAAUGUCACGGAUGUGUCUUUUUUUUGUAUUGAUGGCAGGACCACAAGCCGACGAGAUUGACUAGGAGAACAUGAUGAACAAGGAGUUGCAUGAUAAAUUUCAGCAAAUGAUGAGUGGCUAGGUGGGAGAUGUGCUAAACAGAUUUGCAGAGGCUAUGGAGAAGAUAGAUGCCAUGGAGAAGUCGUUCGAGACAAAGCUGGAUACCAAGUUUAAUGAAUUUCUCAAGCGUCUUCCUCAACCACCACCAGCUGCACCUACCGCACCUCUGCAACGACAACAAUAACACCCCCUUUCGAAUCAAUUUGGACGAGCGACGCGUGUUCCUCUUGAGGAUGGCCAAACUUCUGGUGCUGUUGUACCUACUGUUGAUGCUUCUUUGGCUCCUGCUACUGCUGCUGGUGGUGCCGAGGAGGAUGACGAUUAUGCGGGCGAUUACGAGGAUGAGGUUGAUCAAAAUCAGAACUACGUGCAACCACCAGCACUAGGUCGUCCACAUGCAUAUAAUCGCAAUGGUAGGCCUUCACUACCACCUCAGGUGCGAGAUUAUAACCAUAUUCCUAAACUGAAAUUGAAUAUUACACCGUUUGAGGGUAGGUACAUUCCUGAUGUAUAUCUUACUUGGGAGUUAGAAACUGAACAACGUUUCACAUGCUUACAAUAUCCCAAGGAGAGACGUGUUGCUGCUGCUAUUUGUGAAUUCACUAGUUUUGCUUUUGUUUGGUGGUUUGAACAUUGUAGAUUAUAUCCUAUUCCAACUACUUGGGCUGCUUUGAAAACUGCUAUGCGUACUCGUUGGGUUCCACCAUAUUGUCAACGUGAAUUGCUUCAAAAAUUGUAGCGUUUAAGACAAGGAAACAAUUCUGUAGAAGAAUAUUAUCAGGAAUUACAAACCGACAUGAUUAGAUGUGGUAUUGUUGAGGAUAACGAAGCUAUGCUUGCAUGUUUUAUGGGUGGAUUAAAUGAGAUUCGGACCAUUCUCGAGUAUAAGGAGUAUACUAAUAUCACUCAUUUCUUCCAUCUUGCUUGCAAAGCUGAACGUGAAGUGCAGGAUCGACAUGCAUUGGCGUGAACUAACUUUUCUACAGGCCGGCCUUCAUCAUGGACACCGCGUGCAUCCUCUACUCCCACACGUCCUACUGCAGCACCACUAACUUCAGGUGCCAAUUCCAACCGAGAUACAAGAAAACAGGCACCAUCACCACCAUCUCCCAGGAAUACACCUUCCGGUUCCGCACAGAGCUCUUCAUCCAUGGCAUCAACAGGGAAAACACAUGAUAUUAUUUGUCGUUGUUGCAAGGGUGGAGGUCAUUAUGUGAGAGAAUGCCCAUCUAAGCGCGUGAUGAUUGCUACUGAGGAUGGUGGGUAUGAGUCCGCUAGUGACUACUUUGGCUCUUAUUACAAGUGAAGAACAUGGUGGACAUGAUUCUGAUCAUGAGACGCAAUACAUGGCUCCUGAAGAUGCUGGCAGAUAUGAAGGUUUAGUUUCUCAACGUGUUUUGAGUGUGCAGGUCACACAAGCUGAGCAAAAUCAGAGGCAUAAUUUGUUCAAUACAAAGGGAGCUGUGAAGGAAUGUUCUAUUCGCGUCAUCAUAGAUGGAGGGAGCUGCAACAACUUGGCUAGUAUAGAGAUGGUGGAGAAGCGACAUCUCACCACAAGACCACAUCCACAUCCUUACUACAUCUAAUGGUUCAACAACAGCAGCAAGGUUAAGGUAACACAUACUGUUCGUGUGCAUUUUAGUAUCUCUACAUAUGCUGAUUAUGUUGAUUGUGAUGUGGUACCUAUGCAAGCAUGUUCCUUAUUACUUGGUAGACCAUGGCAAUUUGAUAAAAAUUAUGUACACCAUGGUAGAAACAAUCAAUAUACUCUUGUUCAAAAGGAUAAAAAUAUUACUUUGCUUCCUAUGACUCCUGAUUCUAUUUUGAAAGAUGAUAUUAAUAGAGCUAAUAAAGCAAAACAGGAGAAAAAUAAGAGUGAAAAUCAGAUUGUGGCAAAAGAAUUUGAGCAACAAAUGAAGCCUAAUAAUAAACCAUCUAGUGUUGCUUCUGAAAUUAAAUUGAAAAGUACAUGUUUACUUGCCACCAAAUCUGAUAUUGAUGAUCUAGAUUUCAGCAAAUCUGUUUGCUAUGCUUUUGUGUGCAAAGAGGCCUUAUUUUCUUUCGAGGACGUGCCUUCCUCUUUGCCUCCCGCUGUCACUAACAUUUUGCAGGAGUUCACUGAUGUCUUUCCACAAGACAUGCCACCGGGAUUACCACCCAUUCGAGGGAUUGAGCAUCAGAUUGACUUAAUUCCCGGUGCAUCACUACCCAAACGUGCACCAUACCGUACCAAUCCAGAGGAGACAAAGGAGAUUAUGCGUCAAGUACAGGAGCUGCUCGACAAAGGUUAUAUACGCGAAUCUCUUAGUCCUUGUGUUGUUCCUAUUAUACUAGUGCCAAAAAAGGAUGGUACAUCGCGUAUGUGUGUUGAUUGUAGAGGCAAUAAUAAUAUUACUAUUCGUUGUCGUCAUCCUAUUCCUAGGCUAGAUGAUAUGCUUGAUGAAUUGAGUGGCUCUACAAUAUUCUCAAAGUUGAUUUGCGUAGUGGAUACCAUCAAAUUCGUAUGAAAUUGGGGGACGAAUGGAAAACAACAUUUAAAACUAAGUUUGGAUUAUAUGAGUGGUUAGUCAUGCCUUUUGGCUUAACUAAUGCACCUAGUACUUUCAUGAGAUUAAUGAACAAAGUUUUACGUGCUUUCAUUGGACGAUUUGUGGUAGUCUAUUUUGAUGAUAUACUGAUUUAUAGCAGAUCUUUGGAGGAACAUUUGGAACAUUUACGUGUUGCUUUUAUUUCUUUACGUGAUGCACAUUUGUUUGGUAACCUUGGGAAGUGCACCUUUUGCACCGACCUAGUAUCUUUUCUUGUCUAUGUUGUUACUCCAUAGGGAAUUGAAGUUGGUAAAGCCAAGAUUGAAGCUAUUGAGAGUUGGCCGCAACCCAAAACGGUCACACAAGUGAGGAGUUUUCUUGGACUCGUUGGUUUAUAUAGGCGUUUUGUGAGAGAUUUUAGCACCAUUGCUGCACCUCUCAAUGAGCUUACGAAGAAGGAUGUGCCUUUUGUUUGGGGUGCCACACACGAAGAAGCCUUCACGAUAUUAAAAGAUAGGUUAACACAUGCUCCUUUACUCCAACUUCCUGAUUUUAAUAAGACUUUUGAGCUUGAAUGUGAUGCUAGUGGAAUUGGAUUAGGAGGUGUGUUAUUACAAGAUGGCAAACCUGUUGCAUACUUUUCUGAAAAAUUGAGUGGGCCUAGUCUGAAUUAUUCUACUUAUGAUAAAGAAUUAUAUGCUCUUGUUCGUACUUUAGAAACAUGGCAACAUUAUUUAUGGCCCAAAGAAUUUGUUAUACAUUCUGAUCAUGAAUCUUUGAAACAUAUUAGAAGUCAAGCUAAACUGAAUCGUAGACAUACUAAAUGGGUUGAAUUCAUUGAGACUUUCCCUUAUGUCAUUAAACACAAGAAGGGUAAAGAAAAUGUUAUUGCUGAUGCAUUGUCUCGUCGCUAUACUAUGCUUUCACAACUUGACUUCAAAAUAUUUGGUUUGGAGACCAUCAAAGAUCAAUAUGUGCAUGAUGCUGAUUUUAAAGAUGUAAUGCGGAAUUGUAAAGAAGGAAGAAUGUGGAACAAGUUCGUCAUUAAUGAUGGAUUUGUGUUCCGUGCUAACAAGCUAUGCAUUCCAGCUAGCUCCGUUCGUCUUUUGUUGUUGCAGGAGGCGCAUGGAGGAGGAUUAAUGGGACACUUUGGCGUGAAGAAGACGGAGGACGUACUUGCUACACAUUCUUUUGGCCAAAGAUGAGACAGGAUGUUGAGCGCUUUAUUGCUCGCUGCACUACAUGUCAAAAAGCUAAGUCAUGACUCAAUCCUCAUGGUUUAUAUAUGCCUUUGCCUGUACCUAGUGAUCCUUGGGAGGAUAUAUCUAUGGACUUUGUUUUAGGUUUACCUCGAACAAAGAAGGGGAGGGAUAGCAUAUUUGUUGUCGUGGAUAGAUUCUCGAAAAUGGCACACUUUAUACCAUGUCAUAAAAGCGAUGAUGUUGUUAAUGUUGCUGAUUUGUUCCUUCGUGAAAUUAUUCGCUUGCAUGGUGUGCCAAAUACUAUUGUUUAAGAUCGUGAUACUAAAUUUCUUAGCCACUUUUGGAGAUGUUUAUGGGCUAAGUUGGGGACUAAACUGCUUUUUUGUACUACUUGUCACCCCAAAACUGAUGGACAAACUGAAGUAGUCAAUAGAACAUUGUCAACUAUGCUUAGGGCUGUUUUGAAGAAUAAUAAGAAAAUGUGAGAGGAAUGCUUGCCUCAUAUUAAGUUUGCUUAUAAUCGUUCAUUGCAUUCUACUACUAAGAUGUGCCCUUUUGAAAUUGUGUAUGAUUUCCUACCUCGUGCACCUAUUGAUUUGUUGCCUCUUCCAUCUUCGGAGAAGGUUAAUUUUGAUGCUAAACAACGUGCUGAAUUGAUUUUAAAAAUGCAUGAGUUAACUAAGGAAAACAUUGAGCGUAUGAAUGCUAAAUAUAAACUUGCUGGAGAUAAGGGUAGAAAACAUGUUGUGUUUGCACCUGGAGAUCUUGUUUGGUUACAUUUGCGUAAGGAUAGAUUUCCUAAUUUGCGCAAAUCAAAGCUAAUGCCACGUGUUGCUGGACCUUUUAAGGUGUUAGAGAAAAUAAAUGAUAAUGCAUACAAACUUGAGCUGCCUACAGAUUUUGGGGUUAGUCCCACUUUUAACAUUGCAGAUUUGAAGCCUUAUUUGGGAGAGGAAGAUGAACUUCCGUCGAGGACGACUUCAUUGCAAGAAGGGGAGGAUGAUGAGGACAUCAAUACCAUUGUUACACCCACAACCCCUGCUACUAUACAUACUGGACCAAUUACUAGAGCUCGCGCAAGCCAAUUAAAUUACCAGGUACUUUCAUUUCUUGGUAAUGAUUCUAAUCUUCAUGAGAAUAUGAUGCUGCCUAAAUUGGAUACAUUUGUUUUGCUUACAAAUGAAGGGCCUAUCUUGGAGAAGGAUGAAGAGCAAGAACAAGCAUGGAGAUGAUGGCAUGCGCAAGGGGAACAAGAAUGGAGUUACAACUGAUGAUUUCAGGACGUUGAAGCCACCAUAAUGAGUGCAUGAAGCAUUGGAUGAAAUAUACAAGAUGCUACUUCAUAAUUUCGUCCACAUGCUAUUCUAGGUGCUGCAUCACCUUAUUAUUGGGCCAGGCCCAUGUAAUUUAGAAAUGCUUGAUUGUAGGCUGUUUUUAGAGUCCGUAUGUGUGGGGAAACAAGAGUUAGGGUUGGUUUCGGACCCCUCCCUCAAGGGCCACGAAAUUCCCCCUCUUCCACCAUAUAUACAGCCCUUAGGGCGUCGUUUAGACUUUGGAUUUUGUUUAGAUUAAAGUUCGCCAUAGCUGCAACUUCGCGUACUUUGUUUGUGUUCAACGACCAACCAAAUACGUCACAGAAUCCCACGUUCAUCAAUAAAGCUUUCCUCUUAUACUCGCAAUAUCUAGAUUGCAAUCUCAGUUUCUUGCUUGUUCUUCAUUUGCUUGCACGAAAUAGACCCUCGUGGUCAGGUUGAUCGUGCUCCGGCAUGGUCAGUAACCUCUUGGAGUUGGUUUAGCGAUUGCUAAGACGCGACGGCCUCGCACGUUCGUAGUCGGAUCGCCAAAGUCUACUCCACCCAAAAUGAUACUACCAUCGCAUCGAAAGACGGGACACCUUUGCCUCUAUCAUUAUUGCUUUCAAAAAAUUUCUCGUGUCAACAUAGAACAACAGGAGUGUUGUGUUAAUUUUUGUGAUUUUUCGGGGUUCGUUUGGACAAUUUUAUGCAUUAACUGAGUUUUCACUGCAUUUAUGUGCAUAAUUCAAAUUUGAACUACAUGCACAUGCUCUAGUGCAUAUAAAUUGGUUGAAAAAUCAAAUCUGUGUCCUCGGGUGCAUGCUUAGGUCCCAUGCAAGAAAUGGGAAUGAAUUUCAAACACCCUGCCACCGUUGAUUGUCGGCAAAACAUUGAGAUACUUGGUUUUUAACUUCUAGUAAAUCCAAAACUCAUCUAAAAUUCAUGAAACUUGGCAUGGUAUCAUGGAUCAGCAUCAACAUGCCGUGGUAAAAAAUUUGUCCCAUUUGGGGCAGGUUUGGGUAUACGCUUCUCACAAACCAGAGCUUAUCACAACAAGCAUGAUGGUUUUGAUAGGGAACGCCCCACCUUUGGGGACAGAACGAUAUCCAUUGCCUCUUAUUGCUUUCAAGUUUUUUCUCGUGUCAACAGAACAACAGGAGUGUUGUGUCAAUUUUUGUGAUUUUUUAGGGUUCGUUUGGACAUUUUAAGCAUUAACUGAGUUUUCAAUGCAUUUAUGUGCAUAAUUCAAAUUUGAACUACAUGCACAUGCUCCAGUGCAUAUAAAUUGGUUGAAAAAUAAAAUAUGUGUCUUUGGGUGCAUGCUUAGGUCCCAUGCAAGAAAUGGGAAUGAAUUUCAAACACCAGGGCACUGUUGAUUCCCGACAAAACGUUGAUAUACUUUGUUUUUAAAUUCUAGUAAGUCCAAAACUCUUAUGAAAUUCAUGAAACUUGGUCCCAUUUGGGGCAGGUUUGGGUAUAUGCUUCUCACAAACCAGAGCUUAUCACAACAAGCAUGAUGGUUUCGAUAGGGAAUGUCCCACCUUUGGGGACGAAACGAUAUCCAUUGCCUCUUAUUGCUUUCAAAAUUUUUCUCGUGUCAACAUAGAACAACAGGAGUGUUGUGUCAAUUUUUGUGAUUUUUUGGGGUUCGUUUGGACAUUUUUAUGCAUUAACCGAGUCUUUAAUGCAUUUAUGUGCAUAAUUAAAAUUUGAACUACAUGCACAUGCUCUAGUGCAUAUAAAUUGGUUGAAAAAUCAAAUCUGUGUCCUUGGGUGCAUGCUUAGGUCCCAUGCAAGAAAUGGAAAUGAAUUUCAAACACUAGGGCACUGUUGAUUCCCGGGAAAACGUUGAGAUACUUUGUUUUUAAAUUCUAGUAAAUCUAAAACUCGUCUGAAAUUCAUGAAACUUGGCAUGUUAUCAUGGAAUGGCAGCUGACAUGCUGUGGUAUUUUUCAUGUCCAUUUUGAGAGAAGGCGCACUCGUAUAAUGACAACCAACAAAGGCAUUUUGAAAAAAUAGCUGCCACUUUAAUAUCUCAAAUGUUUGUAUAAUUCAAAUCAUGUGCGUUCUGUUAAUCAUUCACGUGACGCCACGUGUCUUGGUUUUUAAUGGAUAUAGGAGGUGCCGUGUGGAUAGCUGCUUGACUGAACGGGAGGCGUGCGAGCGCAGUCCGGUGUGCACGCUCACCGAGAAGCGUACAAGCUGUUCAAAGCAGGAUUUGUGCAUCUCUUCAACGCAAAUGGUUCAGAUUACGGUAUGCAAAUUAAACCCAGACUUCGGCGCUAAGCCAAGAGACACUGCGAUUUGUCAAAAUAUGGAGCUAAAAAUCAAUAGCACCAUCUAUUGUUUGCAACUAAAAUUCAGUAAUUAAGCAUAGAUUUCAUUCAUUCUAGAAAUUAAGCAGUCGUUCUCACCAGGAAGCGAGACAGCCUUGGACCGCCGCCCGCCUCACUCCCACUGGUCUAUAUUAAUGGCGCCGCCGAGCGGCCGCACCCCCCAUCCUCGCCAGACACAGAAUUUCUCUCUCUCCGCCCGCAUCCUCGACGCUGCUUUGAGUCCUCAAAGCUGUCAGUGUACGAGGAUGCCGUCGAAGCACCCCAUCGGAGGGAGUGGUGACACUGGGGCUGCUGAAGCACCGGAGCAUGGCGUGAAUAUGGAGACAAAGGUUUCCAUCACCGCCGAGGUGCAGAACAAGGCUGCCAACAAGCGGAGGCGGGUCGAGAAAGAACCACAAGCGACUCCAUCAGGCCUAGAAUUCAUCAACAACCUCCCCGAUGAUAUGUUGAUAGUCAUCAUAUCCCUCCUCCCAAUCAAAUAUCGGGCAAGGAUAGCCGCCCUUUCCCGGCGGUCGCGCCACCUAUGGCUCCUCACCCCUGUCGACCUCCUCGACGCCCACAAGCUCUGCCAUGGCUAUCGCCAAAGCUUGGAUGCAUUCUCCCAGAUCCUCGGCAGUCACCAUGGUCCAAUCAAAGAUGUUAUCACGGGCAAGUUCUGUUCCAAUGGCAAGGACCGAGCCAAGCUUGAUGAGUGGUUCCGAUCCCCCACCAUAGAUCAGCUCGAGAAGCUCAGUUUUAAUGAUGGGCAUAUGCGCUUGCUGCCAACGUCCGCACUCCGCUUUGCACCCACGCUGCGCCUCGCCAAGUUCAUGAACUGCCACCCCCCCUAAUGAGCGCUCGCUCUUUUUCUACCAUGACCAAAGCACCUCGAGCUCGUCACCGUCCGCAUCCCAAAGGAUGACAUGGAGCGCCUGCUCUGCGACUGUACUACAAUCGAGUUCCUUUGUAUUCAGGCGAUGAAUUGGUCGAGUACCUUGCACAUCACCUCCAGGACUCUCCGGACUAUUUAUGUGUGUUGCUGGUGCUGCAACAAGAGAUCACAAAAGGUGGACCACAAUAUGGUCAUCCAGGACAUACCUUCACUUGAGAGAUUACUUGUAGUUGAUCAACAAGGGCUAACAAGAAUCAAUGUCAUUUCUGUGCCGAAAUUGAAAGUGGUGGGCUACUCGUGUGUCAAAUACUACAACUUUCAGGUACAACAGUCGCCUUAUACCUCUCCUUGAUAUCAACGUUAUUUCUAGUUUUGAAGAUGUAUGUUCGUCUGUCAUCCAGCGAAGCUUCACCCAGACUCUGGGCACAGUGAAGGUCUUGGCACUAGAAUAUGUCGGCCCCAACCUGGACCAAGUUGUCAGUUGCUUGAGAUGCUUUCCGUGCCUGAAGAAGCUGUAUAUCGAGGUGAUGUUCCUUUCCUAUUAAAUGUUAACCAUAAGGGAGUUCAAUUUUUUGCACCUUUUCCCAAGUUUACAAUGACAAUGUACUACGAUUUCUAAAGGAAUUUUGGAGGAUUUUAGGACAUACACCCCACCCCAUAUUGGUUGAUUCAUUCAUAUGGUUACAAUCGUCCAUAAGCAUUUCUCCUUUGGAUUCAUCUGUACUAGUUUUCUUAGGGAUUUUUUUCAUCUAAUCCAACCUCUUGUGAAGAAGGCUACAUGUUUCUAGAUUGUAAUCAAAUGCCCAUGUUAAUCAUGCCAGAUCGAAGAUGGCACGUUGGUGCAUUUUACAAAUCUUGCAAACCAAAUGGGCGUGUAGAAGUUUUCAAAACUGCAUGUAGGCACUUACACAUUCUCUUCUUUUGCAGAUAAUAAUAGGCCCGGAGGUGGAUAAUGUUUAUAACGAUGAUCACAUCGAAUGCCUGGAUCUGCAUCUCUCAAAUAUUACUUUGAACUCCUACCGAGGGACCUUACCAGAGAUUAUGAUACGUCUCCGUCGUAUCUACUUUUCCAAACACUUCUGCCCUUGUUUUGGACUCUAACUUGCAUGAUUUGAAUGGAACUAACCCGGACUGCCGCUGUUUUCAACAGAACUGCCGUGGUGUUAUUUUUGUGCAGAAAUAAAAGUUCUCGGAAUGACUUGCAAAUCUACGGAGCAACUUUUCAGAAUUAAUAAAAAAUACUGGCAAAAGAAUCAGCGUCAGGGGGCCCACACCCUGUCCACGAGGGUGGGGGCGCGCCCCCUCCCCUAGGGCGCGCCCCCCUGCCUCGUGGGCCCCCUGGACGUCCACAGACCUCAACUCCAACUCCAUAUAUUUGCUUUCACAGAGAAAAAAAAUCAGAGAUAAAGAAUUAUCGCGUUUUACGAUACGGAGCAGCCGCCAAGCCCUAAACUCUCUCGGGAGGGCUGAUCUAGAGUCUGUUCGGGGCUCCGGAGAGCGGAAUCCGUCGCCGUCGUCAUCAUCAAUCAUCCUCCAUCACCAAUUUCAUGAUGCUCACCGUCGUGCAUGAGUAAUUCCAUUGUAGGCUUGCUGGACGGUGAUGGGUUGGAUGAUAUUUACCAUGUAAUCAAGUUAGUUUUGUUAGGGUUUGAUCCCUAGUAUCCAUUAUGUUCUGAGAUUGAUGUUGCUAUGACUUUGCUAUGCUUAAUGCUUGUCACUAGGGCCCGAGUGCCAUGAUUUCAGAUAUGAACCUAUUAUGUUUUCAUGAAUAUAUGCGAGUUCUUGAUCCUAUCUUGCAAGUCUAUGGUCACCUAUUAUGUGUUAUGACCCGUUAACCCCGAAGUGACAACAAUCGGGAUACUUACCGGUGAUGACCGUAGUUUGAGGAGUUCAAGUAUUUACUAAGUGCUAAUGCUUUGGUCCGGUACUCUAUUAAAAGGAGGCAUUAAUAUCCCUUAGUUUCCAUUAGGACCCCGCUGCCAUGGGAGGGUAGGACAAAAGAUGUCAUACAAGUUCUUUUCCAUAAGCACGUAUGACUAUAUUCGGAAUACAUGCCUACAUUACAUUGAUGAACGGGAGCUAGUUCUGUGUCACCCUAUGUUAUAACUAUUACAUGAGGAAUCACAUCUGACAUAAUUAUCCAUCACCUAUCCAAUGCCUACGAGCUUUUCGCAUAUUGUGCUUUGCUUAGUUACUUUGCCGUUGCUACUGUUACAACUACAAAACUACUACUGUUACUUUUUCCAUUGUUACCGUUACUUCCAUACUACUUUGCUACUAAAUACUUUGCUGCAGAUACUAAGUUAUCCAAGUGUAGUUGAAUUGACAACUCAACUGCUAAUACUUGAGAAUAUUCUUUGGCUCCCCUUGUGUCGAAUCAAUAAAUUUGGGUUGAAUACUCUACCCUUGAAAACUGUUGCGAUCCCAUAUACUUGCGGGUUAUCAAGACUAUUUUCUGGCACCGUUGCCGGGGAGCACAACUCUAUUCUUUGAGUCACUUGGGAUUUAUAUCUGCUGAUCACUAUGAAGAACUUGAAAGACGAAAGAACUAAGAUUUAUCCCUCAACUACGAGGGGAGGUAAGGAACUGCCAUCUAGCUCUGCACUUGAUUCUCCUUCCGUUAUGAGUAAACUUGCGACACCUAAACCUGCUUUUGCUAUUAAUUCUGAUAUGUUGCAUGUUAUUGAUGAUGCCACUUUUGCUAUGCAUGAUACUUGUGAUGAAACUACUUCUAUGCUUGAUACUACUAUGCCAUUAGGUGAAUUUCUUGAUGAACAACUUGCUAGGGAUAGGGAGAAUGAAAUUAUUGAAACUGAUAAUAUUGAUGAUAGUGAUGAUGAAGAUUCUCCCCCUAAAUAUGAGUUGCAUGUUGUUCCUGAGGGUUAUGUUAUGGAUGAAAAAACUGCUAGAGAUUUUCUUGCUUGCAAUGAUAGAUCAUAUCUUAAGAAGUUAUUAGCUAAGCUAAAACAAAAGUCUUUGAAUGCUAGAAUGAAACACGACCCCACUUUUGCUACUUCACCUAUCUUUGUUAUUGAUAAGGAUUAUGAUUUCUCUGUUGAUCCUGAGAUAAUUACCUUGGUUGAAUCUGAUCCUUUUUAUGGCAAUGAAUCGGAAACUAUAGUGGUGCAUCUUACUAAGUUAAAUGAUAUAGCCACCCUGUUUACUAAUGAUGAGAAAUCUCGCUAUUAUUAUAUCCUUCAAAUAUUUCCUUUCUCAUUAAAGGGUGAUGCUAAGACAUGGUUUAAUUCUCUUGAUCCUGGUUGUGUGCGUAGUCCCCAGGAUAUGAUUUACUACUUCUCUGCUAAAUAUUUCCCCGCUCAUAAGAAACAAGUUGCCUUAAGGGAAAUAUAUAAUUUUGUGCAAAUCAAAGAAGAGAGUCUCCCACAAGCUUGGGGGAGGCUUCUCUGAUUACUUAAUGCUUUGCCUGACCAUUCUCUUAAGAAAAAUGAAAUACUUGAUAUCUUUUAUAAUGGACUAACCGAUGCUUCCAAGGACCAUCUCUAACUCCUCCACUAGGGAGCUACAUUGACUUAGGUCUCCCUCUAGCUCAGAAUCACUAUUAGGACCAUAUUCUGAGCAUGAAUCUGUAGGUGGAAAGCGUUUGCAUUGCAUUGCAUCCAGACUUGAUUUCAGUCCCUUAAUGCCAAGUUUGACAACCAUGUCAUUGUUCUACUUUAUUCUUUUCAUGCGCGCAAGCUCAUAAUUAUUAUGAUGCUAUUCAGAAUCUGAGAUUCAUGAAAACAUAAAAAGUAGUCAGAUUAUCCAUGGAAUGCAUUGCGGAUUCAACUCGAAGAGUGUCUCCCUAUAAACCCCUGCAUAUGCAAAGUUCACCCCCAACCAUGCUGACCAGACCACACACAGAAAUACAAACCCCUUAUGUCUCUAUAACAGGCAGGCACACAUUUCAAAACUGAAGUAGGAACAUUAGAAUCAUAUGAAAUUCGUAUUUGAACAAAUAAACUAAGCAAUUAUGAGUGGCGUAAUGUUUAGCUUCAAGGGUGGAGUGUUGGUAGUGCGACACAAAGCAAGUAGGCAGAUUGUAUUCCAUGUAAAAGAUCGAAACCUAUAUAAAAGAUGGAAAUGACACUGUCUUUCUAUACAAUGCAGUGUUCGUUACCCACACAUGAUGGAAGAGAUCACAUAGAGAAAUACUAUUCACUCAUGUCUAUGGUUCCAGUAUUUAGAAACAGGGUGGUCCACCCUAAAAGAAUAUUGACAACAAAUAUGACAAGGCAAGCAUAGAUGUCGUGAAUAAAUCAUUUACUUGUGAGCUUAUUAGGACAAGUAUGCAGAAUUGUAACUGCAGUAAGAGACCGUCCAAAAUCUGAAUGAAGAAGUUUGUCUAGCACUUAUUGUUUGCAACUAAUCGACGUGAAUAAUUGGAUAUUAUAUUGAAUGAGUAAGAAAGACAAGUAAAAUUGUCAACAAACCUGGCUUGCGGUAGUAAUCUGGGUCAAUGUCACUACAACCAACAAUCCAAAAUGACUAGUUUCUGUUCCGAGGGCCGGAAUUUUGAAAACCCUGUGAACUUUAGAGGUACUAAAGAUUACCGAAAUACAUCUGAACCAUUAAGUGUAGUAGCACUGAGCACACAACAAACCCUAAUGACAAUCCUGCCUAAUGAGUAAUGAAUCAAUUAGAAAAUGGGUGAUGAGGAGUGGCUGCUGAGUGUUGAGGACAUAUCUCAGGAUAAAUCGGGAUGGCUUGGUGGGUGCUGCACGCCUAAGCCCUGAACGGACAGGGAAGGUAGGCACGGCGGCGCGCCCGGGCAGCGGUGACGCUGUUGGGCGAGCGGCUCCUGGCCUCCUGUUAGUCCGACGUCUCCUCCUAGAGUCAUGCCGUCCAGGGACGGCAAGUCACCGGUGAGGCAGGCGGCUGGGGGCGAGUAGAGAUCGGAAGUGCACAACAGAACAGAGGGGAAUCGGGGCCUGGGAUGACCCAAAAUCCCAGGGUGGGCCGGCCCACCGUGGGCACCCUGUAGAGAUACACACCCAAGCGGCGAACAUGCAUUUUUGAAACUAAUUUAGGAACAUUUAGCUGACUAAUUAAACAACUCUGUUUUAAUAAUAUCAGUUUCGUAUUUGAACAUCUAAGCUUGUUUAGCUUGAAGGGUGGAGCAGUGUUAUUAUGACACGAAACAUGUAUUCUGAUCGUAUAGUGAUCAUAAAAGGGGGAAACUCUAAGCAUAUUUUUUUAGCAAAAAGGGUUUCCCCUCCGAUUUCUAUUAAAGAAACCACCACGGAACCAACAUGAUCAAUUAAACCCUAAGCAUGAUCAAUUAAACCGUAUUAUGGCUGUGCCAUGGCAGAUUUGAAGCUGCAAACCGGAGAAAUGAUAUUUAGCAUCCAUUGUUUGCUUCGAACUAAGAACUAAAUUCUAAGAGCUGGAAAGAAAGUAGAGUAACCAAGUUAAGAUCUAUUUUCUGGUUGAUAUCAAAAAGUUGAGGAGAUAUGAAGUACCACCUCUCUUGCGGCACCGUGUAGGCAUCGGGGGUGCGAUGCCUGUCGGUGGCGUUGAAGCAGAUCUGCGAUGGUAGACGAGUGCAUCGGGGGAUAAGUCCUGUUGCGGUGGAAGAGAAGGUCGUGUGAGCGGCUGUAACGCCCCGGAUCCGAUGCGCCAGGUGUCCGCCAGUUAUUCGCCGUCGUUGCCAUGUCAUUUGCUUGCGUGUUGCAUUUUAUCAUGUCAUCAUGUGCAUUUCAUUUUUGCGUUCGUGUUCGUCUCAUGCAUCCGAGCAUUUUCCCCGUUGUCCGUUUUGCAAUCCGGCGCUCCUAUGUCCUCCGGCGUUCCCCUUUUCGUCUCCUAUUGUGAGUGGGUGUUAAACCUUCUCGGAAUGGACCGAGGUUUGCCAAGCAGCCUUGGUAUAGCACCGGUAGACCGCCUGUCAAGUUUCGUGCCAUUUGGAGGUCGUUUGGUACUCCAACGGUUAACCGGGUAACCGCAGAGCCCUCUUUUGUUUGCAGACCAACACCCCUUCCAAAUUGUCCCAAAACCCACCUAACUCCCCUCCAUGCUCUCGGUCGUUCGAUCACGAUCGUGUGGGCGAAAACCGCACCUUAUUUGGACUCUCCUAGCUCCCUCUACCUACAAAUAUGUCUUCCUCCCCGAAUUCCCGCAGUCCAAACCCUAAAAAUCAUCCCCGUCGCCCGCCGGACAUGUCCGCCCCGAGCCGGACGAAGUCUCCACCGCCGCCCAGCCAACCGCGCAGUGCCACGUGGCCCUGGCCACCGCGCGCCGCCCGCGGCCCGCCAGGCCCGCCGCCNNNNNNNNNNNNNNNNNNNNNNNNNNNNNNNNNNNNNNNNNNNNNNNNNNNNNNNNNNNNNNNNNNNNNNNNNNNNNNNNNNNNNNNNNNNNNNNNNNNNNNNNNNNNNNNNNNNNNNNNNNNNNNNNNNNNNNNNNNNNNNNNNNNNNNNNNNNNNNNNNNNNNNNNNNNNNNNNNNNNNNNNNNNNNNNNNNNNNNNNNNNNNNNNNNNNNNNNNNNNNNNNNNNNNNNNNNNNNNNNNNNNNNNNNNNNNNNNNNNNNNNNNNNNNNNNNNNNNNNNNNNNNNNNNNNNNNNNNNNNNNNNNNNNNNNNNNNNNNNNNNNNNNNNNNNNNNNNNNNNNNNNNNNNNNNNNNNNNNNNNNNNNNNNNNNNNNNNNNNCCCCGCCGUCGCCGCGCCGACCUCCGGCCGGCCUCGCCCCGCCGGACUUCCCCGAGCGCCUCCCCGAGCAUCUUCAGCAUCUCCGGCGAGGCUCCGGCGCCGCCUCGAUACGCGCGCCGAGCCGGAUCCAGAUCUGAGAAGGUUGACUUCUCCCCCCCCCAAAUUUGCCCAAGUCCCAGAUCUGUGUUAUUAUCAUGCCAUGUUCAUGCCAUCGUAUCUCUGCAUCCGUAGCUCCGUUUCGUGCGUGUAAUAUGUCAAAUUGUUCACCUCGACGAGUACAUCAUUUCAUUCCAUUGCAUCAUUUUCAUUUGAGCUCAUCUUGAUGCCCGAAAUGCUGUUGGAAGAGUGCUAUGUGAUGUUAAUCUGCUGAAACUGUUAUAACUUGAUGAUUUGUCAUUUUUGCCAUGAUGGAUGUGUGCAUCCUAUGAGGUUGAUGUCUACAUGUGUUUUGAUCUAUGACAUGCCAUCUUUCCAGAGGUGCUAUCCAUGUAUUUUUGUGAUUUGUGUGCUGAGUGCAUCGAGCUUGCUAACUAGGGUACUUGCUGUUGCUGAUUUCAGUCACUGUUCUGCUGUUAUUUUUAUGCCUUGUAAACUUGAUGCUACAGAGAGAUCCAUGCAUAUUUUGAGAUACUUCAGUAAGGGUGUUUUGAACAUAUGGUUAUUGUCUAUCCAUUCAUGCCCUUUGUUGCAAUUAUGGAAUAGUCUAGCAUGUCAUUUGAGUGCUCUACUUUUACUUCAAAAUGUUUCCUGGCAGAUUGUUUACUUGUUAUUCAAUUUAGCCAAGGUUGUUAUAGUUGAUCCUUGCAUGCUAUGAACUUGUUCUUGCCUUGGGUGGUUAUACAAACAUGUAUUCUUGAAUGCUAUGCUUAUCUUGUAACGCAAUGACUUGUGGUGAGUGAAUCGAGCUUGUUUAGUAGUGUACUUGCUGUUACUGUUUUGCUAGGCUGAAUCUGUUAUUUCGUGAUGCUAUAUAAACAUGUUGCUACUAGUCAUCCUGUGCAUAAUCUGGAGAUGUUCACUAAGAGUGUUUUGUUAUACAUGUCAUGCUAUAUCCAUCCAUGCCCCUGGUUGCAUUUAUAGCUUGCUGUAGCUUAUUGUUUUCAUGCUCCAAAGUUGCUAAAUAAUGUUGCUGUCGGCCUGUUGACAUUAAGUUCAGAUGUUCCCAUGAUUGUUGCUAGUGAUCCAUGCACCCUAUGACCUUGCUCUUUCCAUGCUUAGAUUCAUAAACAUGUCUUCUUACUGUUGGUUGCCUUGUCAUGCCAUGUAUUGCUCUGUAGUGAGUGGUAUAAGCUCACCAACAUGCCUACUUAUUGUUGCUCCUCCCAUGUUUGAAUCGGUAAUAUAACUUGCCAUGUUUACAUGGGUGCCAUCAUAUCUUCUGACCCUUUUUGGCUUAUGGUCAGUAAGGGACUUUUGUUCUAUGCAAUUAGUAGAUUCAUGCCAUGCCUUUGUUUGCCAUGUUAAGUUCCUGUAACAUAUUUUUUGAUAGCUCUGAACAUUGCAACCUGAUGUUAUUUCCUGAUAAGUCUGUAACUGUUAUUAUUUGCAAUCUUCCCAUGUCUGUUUGAGCAUGUUCUAGUGAUUUCUGGAGAUAGCUCAGUGUUCAUGUUUUGUUAUGCUUUACCUGUACAUCAUGCCCAUGCCUUUUGUUAUUAUGUUGAGAUCCUGUAGCAUGUUGUUUUGAUGCUUGGAAUAUGCCUACUUGCUGUUAUGGACAUAUUGUUGUUAUGACUUGUAUAGUGCGUAUGUGUUGCACCGUUGCUCCGUUUUGAGUGUGCUUUAUAUGAAACUUGCUUGAUUUUGCAUGUAGUUUCAUGUUAUCAUGUUGCAUCCUUGUUUUGAGGUGUUUGCUUGAUGUUUGUAUGCAUUUUGCAUCAAUGCCAUGUUUAACUUGUUUUGCUCAUAUCUUCUAGGCCGUAGCUCCAAAUCUAAAGAACUUUAUAUGUAAAUGGGGUGGAAAAAUGCCUAGUUUAACAUGGUCCACUUUAUUUUCCUGUUUAACAACAAUAAAAUAUGGUUUGGGGCAGAACAGUACCAAAUUCAUAAAUAUGGACAUGAGGAUUUUCCGGAAUUGUUAUAUGUUGUUCCCGGCCUCAUUUAAACUUGCCUUGAUGUGUUGCUCUUGUUUGCAUCAUCUCUUGCCAUGAGUAGCUUCAUGUAGCUUUGUCAUGCAUCAUGCCUGUUGUGCAUCAUGUCAUGUUCAUGUGUGGUGUGUUUACCAUGUUGUGUGCUUCUUCUCCAUAGUUCCCGUUUCAUUGCGAUCGUGAGGAUUCGUUCAUCUAUGCUUGGUUCGUCUUCGUGGCUUCAUCUUCUUCAUGGACUCGUUCUUCUUCCUUGCGGGAUUUCAGGCAAGAUGACCGUCACCCUGGAUCUCACUACUAUCAUUGCUAUGCUAGUUGCUUCGUUCUAUUGCUAUGCUGCGCUACCUAUCACUUGUUCAUCAAGCCAUCCCAUAUUGCCAUGAACCUCUAACCUUUGACACCUUUCCUAUGCAAACCACUGUUUGGCUAUGUUACCGCUUUUGCUCAGCCCCUCUUAUACCGUUGCUAGUUGCAGGUGAAGUUGAAGAUUUCUCCAUGGUGGACAGGAUUUUGGUUGGGAUAUCACAAUAUCUCUUAUAUUAUUAAUGCAUCUAUAUACUUGGUAAAGGGUGGAAGACUCGGCCUUUUGCCUGGUGUUUUGUUCCACUCUUGCCGCCCUAGUUUCCGUCAUACCGGUGUUAUGUUCCCGGAUUUUGCGUUCCUUACGCGGUCGGGUGAUUUAUGGGACCCCCUUGACAGUUCGCUUUGAAUAAAACUCCUCCAGCAAGGCCCAACCUUGGCUUUACCAUUCGCCUCACCACCACCUAUCCCUUUCCAUUGGGUCGGCCAACCCGAGGGUCAUAUUUAUUUUAGCCCCCCGGGCCAGUGCUUGUCUAAGUGUUGGUCCGAAUCGGGCAGACUGCGGGGCCACCUCGGGGCAACCCGAGGGUUGGUUUUACUCGUAGGCUGACCUAUCCGGUGUUGCCCUGAGAACGAGAUAUGUGCAGAUCCUAUUGGGAUUGUCGGCGCAUCGGGCGGCUUUGCUAGUUUUGUUUUACCAUUGUCGAAAUGUCUUGUAAACCGGGAUUCCGAGUCUGAUCGGGUCUUCCUGGGAGAAGGUCUAUUCCUUCGUUGAUCACGAGAGCUUAUCAUGGGCUAAGUUGGGACACCCCUGCAGGGUAUAAUCUUUCGAAAGCCGUGCCUGCGGUUAUUGGCAGAUGGGAAUUUGUUAAUGUCCGGUUGUAGAUAACUUGACACCAGAUCCGGUUUAAAACGCAUCAACCGUUUGUGUAGCCGUGAUGGUCUCUUCUCGGCGGAGUCCGGGAAGUGAACACGGUUUUUGUGUUAUGUUUGACGUAAGUAGGAGUUCAGGAUCACUUCUUGAUCAUUACUAGUUGACGACUGUUCUGCUUGUUCUCUUCUCGCUCUUAUUUGCGUAUGUUAGCCACCAUAUAUGCUUAGUCGCUGCUGCAGCCUCACCACUUUACCCCUUCCUUUCCCUUUAAGCUUUGCUAGUCUUGAUACCCAUGGUAAUGGGAUUGCUGAGUCCUCGUGGCUCACAGAUUACUACAACAACAGUUGCAGGUACAGGUUUAUCCGAUGAUCAUGAUGCGAGAGCGAUGCUUGCUUGCGUUAAGUUCUUCUUCUGCUUCUUCGAUCAGGGGAUAGGUUCCAGGUCGGCAUCCUGGGCUAGCAGGGUGGAUAUUGUUUGAGUUUCUGUUUAUGAUUCAUCCGUAGUCGGAUGUUGUUCUUGUAUGUUGUAUUGUUGUAUUCAUGUGACAUUGUAUGUAUUGGAUGUAUCCCCACUUUUAUGUAAUGUUGAUGUAAUGAUAUCCGCCUUGCAAAAGCGUCUUCAAGAUGCGCUUCUAUCCUUGGUGGGACCUUCGAGUUCCUUUAGGAUAGGGUCGCAUCUUGGGCGUGACAGCGGCCCCGGCAAAGAGGACGACGGCGCUGAUGAAGCGAGAGGACGCGAUGCAAGGCUAUUGGUCCGUCGCCGUGGAUGAGAAACGUCCAUCUCUAGCAGUGGACGACGUGGUCUUGGUAGGCGCUCCGGCAUGGUGGAGGACGGUGGCGAUGGAUGUGGUGGAGGACGGCGGCGAUGGAUGGGGUGGCGGACGGAGGCUGGUGUGGGGAUGGGGUGUUCUAGCGCGGACGGUGUAUGAAUGGGAAAAUGGAGGGAGAGGUACAGGGAACCACGUUUUUGGGAUGCGCCUGUCUGAAAUAUGGGAAAUUUAUGAACUUAGCCCCCGUUUAAAAUUUGGACGUCUCGUCGGUUGGGGAUAGGACGGUAAUCUCGCAUCUCGCCAAUAUUUGCCCAGAGCGAUUUCGGGCGAGGAGAGGGUGGUUGGCGCCCAUGGUUGGCGCCCACGGUGUAUGAACGGGGCUGACAGGUAGGGCGGUUGUGUCACGUUUGAGUGAAGUUACAAACCUGCCCCUAUUGAAAAUAUUUGCCUACAUCGAUUUCGGCCGAGUCGAGUUUGUUUUGCCGCCCACCGUGUAUGAAUGGGGAAUGGAGGGAGAAACAGAGGUAUUUCGGACGAGCUUGAAUAAAAUGUGUUUUGCCGCCCAUGUUUGAUGCCCACCGUGUCGGAAUGGGCUCAGAGGCGGUCGUGUCACGUCUAAUUGAAGUUACUAACCUACCCCUAUUUAGAGCAGUGGAAAUCGGGCUGAUGGAUUGUCCGUGUAAUGGGUAGACAAUAAUUUCCAUCUCCCAAACACUUGGCUUCGGGCAGCCGACGUGGGAGUGGACAUUUUGCUACUUCUUUCGAAUUUUGGGACAAUAAGCAUCCACGUUUACCCUGGCAACUAAAUUCGAAUCCACUUUGUAUUCCUAUAUGAAUCUUUAUAAAUCAUUCUAUGUGUUUUUAUAUAUCUUCAAAAGGACGACAAAGAUGUAUUCCACUGUCAUAUAUGAAUAUGAUUUACAAAUGCCGAUACUCAAAUUCAGAAACUAGAAUCCAGUUUAAGGUGAAUUCGAAUAUUUGGAACACUUCAUGUCCAACUCAAAUGUCACACACAGCAUAAUGUGUACUCCCAUUUAGAUAUGUACAUAAGCAAUGCAUCAAGAUUCAAAUACCGAGUCAAUCAACAAAGAAUGUACAGAACUAACAGACAUAUAAACACUUAUAGAGUAUAUGGAUCAAUAAUAUCAACUAACAUACAUAAGCCAGGCCGCUGUACUUUUUUUUGGCUACAACAACAUCCUUUUUUUAGCCAGCAUCUUGGCCCUUUCCGAUGCGUGCCACUUAUGGUCCAUCUAUACUACUACUAUUGCUGAAUGCACAUUCAGCCUGAUUGGCAUAUUUGUAGGUCUGGCACAGCAAUCCAAAUGAAAUGUCUCCGAGUCUUAUCAAUUAAUACAGACUUGUGCCCAAAUAAAAUUACAAACCAAAAAACAAAAAAAAAACAAUUAUUACAUGAUCUCUAAAACAAAUGGUUUGAUUGAUUACAUG
This 45453-nucleotide long non-coding RNA is filed under the name Triticum aestivum (bread wheat). RNAcentral describes it as "long non-coding RNA (TAES_LNC022749)". The stretch from base 864 to 998 matches the Rfam family "MIR1120/MIR1122 microRNA precursor family". Lineage: Eukaryota; Viridiplantae; Streptophyta; Magnoliopsida; Poales; Poaceae. The record is from RNAcentral.